This 63445-nucleotide long non-coding RNA is filed under the name Trifolium pratense (red clover). RNAcentral describes it as "long non-coding RNA (TPRA_LNC013740)". Lineage: Eukaryota; Viridiplantae; Streptophyta; Magnoliopsida; Fabales; Fabaceae. The record is from RNAcentral.
CUUGUUUCUUACAUACAAACAUCUAAUGAUCAAAAGAUAGAUUUCAAAGAGAUUUUAGACCCUCGCCUCGCUUCGCCUCCAAAGAACAUUUUGAAGGAGUUGGCAUUGUUUGCUAAUUUAGCUCUUUCUUGUUUACACACAAAUCCUCAAUCUAGACCAACCAUGAGAAGCAUUGCCCAGUUGCUAGAAAUGGAGACUGCAUUUAACACUUGAUUCAAGUUCGUUACUAACCUCUCCUGCCCUUUUUUAUAAAAAACAACUUAAUUUUUAGAUUUAUUAAAUAACUGAUGUAUUUGGUCUAUAAUCGAAAUACAUUUGUCAUUUAAUGAACCUAAAAAGUAAAUUGUUUCUUAUAAAAAGAACUCAAAGUAGUACUUUCUUUUGGUCCAUUUGGUUUGUGUAUAGAUAUUGUGUAUAUCAUAGUGCUUGUUAUUGUCCCACAACUCUCACAGAAUGUUUCGCAAAAAAUAUUUAUUUGUGAUAUAUAAUUUAUCCUAUUUAAAUAAGUGUCCUUCUAGUUCUAAUAUAGACCCAAUCUUUCUUUUUUUUUUUCCUUUUGUUUUAUUUUAAUUUAUAUAAGGUGUUGCAGUGGUUUAUCAUUUGCACCCUUUUGCUUUAAAAAAAAAUAUUGUACCUUAGAGAUAAAGAUAUCAUACAUACAUAUAUAUAUAUAUAUAUAUAUAUAUACAUAUAUAUAUAUNNNNNNNNNNNNNNNNNNNNNNNNNNNAUAUAUAUAUAUAUAUAUAUAUAUAUAUAUAUAUAUAUAUAUAUAUAUUACAGAUUUUUACGUAUUUUUUAGUUAAUUGCACAUUGAUCCAAUGCAUUAAUAUACUUUAUGUUUCCAAUUUGUCUCCAUAUUUUCAAGGUAGAGAUCUCCCCUGGAUAAUCAAAAGUAAAAACGAUUGUUGAUGAUUCAGCAAUGCUAUGUCCCGAAAAAAAAAAUUAACGAAAAAAUCACGAACAUUCUUUUUCUAUUGUUGAGAACAUGGCAUGCAUUUUUUGGUGGGGAAGUAAUACUGAUAAGAGGAAAUUCCAUUGAAUAAAUUGGAAGAAAAAAAAUUGCAAGAAUAAAGAUCAAGGAGAGUUAGGUUUCAUAAGUGUUUAUGCUUUCAAUGAAGCCCUCUUGGCCACAAGGAUGGAGAUUGGCUACUCAACUUGACACCCUUUUAGCAAGAGUGUUAAAAGCUAAAUACUACCCUAAGUGCCAUGUAAUGGAAGCUAAAUGGGCAACAUGGUGAGCUAUACUUGGAGAGUAUUCUUCAUGCUUGUUGGAUCCUUCAAAGAGGGUGUUAUUGGAAUAUUGGGAGUGGUGAACAAGUAAAUAUGGGACCAUAACUGGCUCAUAUCCUUAUUAUUCUCUCCGAUCCUAUAUAUAAAAUAAAAGAAUGUUAACUUUUUAGAUUCAUUAAGAAUCUAAUGUAUCUAGACCAUAUUAUGAAUCAAAUACAUUAGAUUUUUAAUGAAUUUAAAAAGUCAACUUUCUUUUAUAUAUAGGACCGGAAGGAGUAUUAUACCUUCACCCUAUACAAAACAUUCAAUAUUCCAAUCUUAUCACUUUCAUCAUUUAAUUUUUCACCCUCAAAGACAAUUUCUCUGACCAAUCACCCCCACAUGACAUUUUCCGGAACACUUCAAAUAGUAUAAUGUUUGGUUUGUUAAAAACCAAAAACCAAAAAAAAGGAACACGUAACAAAGCAAUCCUCAUUAGACCAAAAUCAAACAUAGCAUCUACACUAAAAAGUAAAAACUCAAAACUACCACCACACAAUACUCUCACCUCCAUAUAUACAAGCAAAGACAAUAAAUUUCAUGCGAUUAAAGAGGCCCAAAAUCUAAACACAUUGAAAAUCACAACCUUGUUGUUUGAAAAUAUCAAUAUAUUACUUCUUAUUUACUCCUCCGAUUCAAUAUAUAAGAAAAUUUUGACUCCUCCAACCCAAGCUCAAAAUUUUAGGCCCCCAAAAUUUUUCCCUCUAAUAUAGACCCCAAAAAAGAAUAUAGGCCUCAAAAUAUAAUAAUAUAUUCGGUUAGUUCCAACAACUAUAACAUGUUGAGCCAAUGGGCUAGUGGUAUCAGGGCUGUUUGUUUACUGAGUGUUAAUCUUAACUAGACUCCGACCCGUGCGUUGCACGGGUUUUCGCAGAGGGUCUGAUUCACAUGCAUACUGUUAUAAAAAAAUUACCAACAUAUCAUUAUCAUUAUUAGUCUACAUUGACAUAAAACUUAUUUAUAAAUAAUAAAAAAUAUAUGAAUUUUCUAGUCAUUGUUUAUUCAAUAAUGAUAAUCAAUAGUUCUAAGACAUAUUUUUAAGAAUUCAAAUAAAAGGAAAGCAACACACCAAAAGAGAACAAAAUGAUAAGAUAAUUAACGGGUUCCUCUUCACCGACAACUUAGAAACAUUAUUAGGAUAGGAUAAUCCAUUGCUUUUGCAUUAAAGGCUUCAUGCUUCUACAAAUCUACAAAGAAAAGGAGGGUAAUUGAACAGCAGAAAGAGAAGAAAAAAUAUUAGUUCAAGCAAUUUUUUUAGAAAAACUAUUUAGUCCAAAAACACAAUAAACUUGAAUCAUCAAAAAAUAAAAGAUUAGUUCAGAGCAAAAACAAAAAUAGAAUCACAAAAUAUUCACCUCUGGCAUCAGAAAGGUUGUUGUUAAACUCCGAUUUAGUAUAUUAUAUGUAGAUAUUUUUUGUGUUAAUUUAGAGUAUUUAUUAUUAUAUAAAUAACUCACUUGAUUUGCUCUAUAUUAUACAAAAGAGAAGAAAAGAUAAAAAGAUGGAAAUCUAAUUUUUGAAUCACUUAAAAUAAUAUGAUAUACAUUAUAUAUUAUUUAUAAUUAUUAUUAUUAUUAUUAUUAUCAUCAUUAAUAAUAUGAAAUUAUAUACUUCUCAUCAUUUUGUCUCAUUAAGCAAAUGUCUAGAAGCCCAAAACACAAGAACCACAUGUUGGCCCAUUAAAAGGAAAGGAGACAUACAUGCAUUGGAAAAAAGCUGGCAUCCAAACAAGUUAAUGAGGCAGCAAUUAAAAGAACAGAAUGCAGAACACUGAAGGAGAAUUUUGGGGAUUAAGAGGCGGCAUUUGGAACUUCACAAAGUGUAUAAAUAUAGCUUCUUGGUUCAAGACUUGGGAGCAGGCUGUACAGAGACUGAUCGACCUAUGAAUGUUUAUAAUCAAUUGAUUGAUCAGCGAUUGUACUGCAGUUGAUUGGUGGACCUAUAGGAUAAAUGAGACUAAUUAGAUUAUUGCAUGACCAAACCUUAAUUUUAGUCUUCUAAUCAUUCAACAUUUUUGUGCUUUAUGCUUUUCUUGAAUUUAAACUCUUUGCAUGACCAAAUAAGGGGUUAAUUUAAGAAAAAGAAUAUUAAUCACGAAUGACCAAACGGGUUAAUAAUUUUAGUAAAGAGAUUGAUAAUUGAGUUAAAAUGAUGAAAUUCAAGAGGAACUAGACAUAAGAAUCAAUGAUUGCCGGUGAAACCAUGACCCUAGACCUCUCUAUUUUAAUCACAACUUUUAUUUUAGUUUGUAUUUGUUCUUAUUUUCUAUUUACUUCUUUUAGUUACCGAAAACAACUCAACUCUUUCUCCGUCUAAAUAAUAAAUAAUCUUAACUAGUUUGGUAAUUGUUAAUUAAUCCCUGCUGUGAAAACGAUAAUCUUUUAUACUAGGUGUGUUUUUAACGCAACAAGUUUUUGGCUCCGUUGUCGGGGAUUAAUUUAACGAUAUUAGACUAAAAAGAUUUUUUUUAUUAAUUUAGACAUUGUACAGUUUUUGUCAGUUUAUUUUAUUAUUUUCCAUUGUUAAUAUCACUUGUGCGUACUCACCUUGCUCUCAAUAGCCUGUUUGUAGUUGAUUGUAUUUUGCAGGAAAAGAAAAAGUCAUGGUUGAGAGGAAAACAAUGAGAGAUUACAUCAUAGAAGCUAAAUUGGAUGCUAUAAUAGCUAAAUUGGAAAUUCUUUAAUGGAAAUUUGGGAUAUAUACAUUUGUUCCUUGUGAACAUUGUGAUUUAGUUGGACAUGAAAGUGAAGAAUGUCCGACAAGAAGUAUAUGGGAUGAUGGUGAAAUUGUCCAUAAUGGGCAGCGAUAUGAUCCUCACCCUCCCAAGCGGGACAUUAACUAUAUACCACCUUGCUUACGACGUCGGUCGCCAAAACCAAUGGAGGAGCAACAUGAUCCUCACCCUUUCAAGAGGGACAUUAAUUACAUACCGUCUUGCUUGAGACGUCGGUGUCCAGAACAAGCGGAAGAGCCAUAUGUUCAUACAAUAUUUUUAAUCAUUCUCACCUCAUUUGUCAAUAUCAUAUCAAUACUUACUGUUUUAAAAUAAAACGUUAAACUCAAAUCAUUUACAUCAUACUCUACUUAAUAAGUUCGAUAUUUAAUUUGUAAUUCAUUGAUGUAUUUGUCUUAAUUAGUUAUGGGAUUUGUAUUUUUUUUAAUAUAAUAGACCACAUGAAAAAGAGAGGGAAAAAAUAGGUUUCGAGUUAGCGUUCGGAGCAAGCUUAGAAUAUAAGAGACAUGCGAUUCCUAAUUUUAUUAAAAAAACAUGGUUAACAUAUGUUAAAAAGUUUUAUUGUAAGCAAGAGAUGCAGGUUCGAUUGUCAAGCUAGACAAAUUUGUAAUUUUUUAAUAUAAUGGACCACAUGAAAAAAAAAAAAGGAAAAAAAUAGGUGUAGAGUAAGCCUUUCGGAGCAAGAUUAGAAAUAUAGAGAUACCAUUAUACCCUUAGUUCAUUUAGUUGAUUAAAAAAAAAUUGUUUACAUAUGAAAUUUGGAAGAAACAUGAAAUUAUACAUGGAACAAAAUUGAAAUAAGAUCGAUUAAUACUUGAUAGGCUAAGCUGUCGGAGAUAAUCCUCAAUAUCGAAAAAUGAUUUACGGUAUCAUAUGAAGCCAAUAAGAAUGAUGAAUUUACAAAUGGAUAUGACAAGUUAAUUAAUUAGACAAAUAUUAUCUUGUCAUAUGUAUACCCUAACACACUACAAAGCAAGAACGAAAUAUCUAAUUCACAUGGCAUCAAAUCAUGAAAAUUCUAUGCUAUAUAUUUGUAAUGACGGUGCCCACCGACUCAAGUACAUUUGUAACGUACACGUACAAAUACAGUUGAGAAUCUUUUCUCUUUUUAAUAAGGAACCUUCUCUCUUUUUACUUUUUUUUUUAAGAAACGUUGUAGGUAUCGAAUAAAUUUUGUUUUCUACGAUGUUUCGUAGAUAAAAGGUUAUUUUAGAUAAUUUGUGUAGAAGACAAAAAAAAUUCUCGUGUUCUCUGGGGGGAUAAGAAUUUCAAUUUUUGUUCUGUCCCUUAGCCCCCAGUUUGCCGAAUACCAGAAACAGUUUUAAAAUCAAACACCAGUUUGCCCAAUACCAGAAACAGUUUUAAAAUCUGAUCUAGGAGGAUUUCUUCAGUAUUUUAUUAUUUUAGUUAGUUUUAUUAUAUUUUAGGUGAAUUUCUUAUUUUUUUAUAUUUCACUUAGAUUAGUUAUUUUUAUAUUUUAGAUAGAUUUGUUAUUGUUUCUAUUGUUGUUGUUGUCGCCGUUUCUGUUAUUGUUUCUGUUGUUGUUGUUUCGGUUGUUGUCGCCGUUUCUGUCGUUGUUAGCGACGUCGUCCACCUUAGUCGUCAACGUCGUCAACUGAUCUGACAGAGAUUUGACAUUGUGGCUAAACCGUCAAAUUCUGCCCUCGUCACCGGUUGAUCUCCCAUGGCUGAUCAAUUCACGAAAGAACAAGGGAAACCUGCUCUGAUACCAACUGACGCAGUACGGAAGCNNNNNNNNNNNNNNNNNNNNNNNNNNNNNNNNNNNNNNNNNNNNNNNNNNNNNNNNNNNNNNNNNNNNNNNNNNNNNNNNNNNNNNNNNNNNNNNNAAAUAUAAAAAUAAGAAAUCUACCUAAAAUAUAAUAAAACUAAAUCUAACUAAAAUAAUAAAAUACUGAAGAAAUCCUCCCACAUCAAAAUCAAACACAGUGCAACAGAAGUUGUCCUGUCAGUCUCUUAUUUUUAGCAAUCCAUCAGAUGAGCUAUAGCACAAUACAAAUACAAGAGUGAAAUGCCAAAUACCCCCUUGAAAUUUCAAUAUUCGUCAAAUACCCCGUUGAAAUUUGAAAAUAGGCAAAUACCCACUGAAAUUGUAAAACGUCAAUCAAGUUGCCCCCUGCUCCGUUUACUCCGUCUAUUUUAAUGAGGAAGCGAUGGAUGAGACAAGAAUUGAUAAAGAGUAUGAUGUUUGUGAUUGGUGUUUCUUGACUGGUUAUGAAUCUGAUGACUCAGAUUGGUCUAUUGUGUUGUUAGAACCUCUUGGUUCUGAUUUUGAAAGCAAUGAUAAUGGUGAUGAGAGUGAUUCUGGUGAUCAUAGUUUUGCUAUUUUGGUUUCUUGUUUUUCACAUGGUGGCAAGGAGGUUGAAAGCUCAAACAAUGUGCAAUUUGAAUGACGUUUUACGAUUUCAAUGAGGUAUUUGCCUAUUUUCAAAUUUCAGAAGGGUAUUUGACAAAUUUUGAAAUUUCAGGGGGGUAUUUGGCAUUCUGCUCACAAAUAAAACCUCUCGUUUAGAGUAGAGUUAUAAGUCGCCACCACAGGUUACAACUCAUAUCAGUGGGUCAUAGCCUUUCAAAAACAAAUUGACUUAAAUGCAGUUUUACCCCCUCUAUNNNNNNNNNNNNNNNNNNNNNNNNNNNNNNNNNNNNNNNNNNNNNNNNNNNNNNNNNNNNNNUAUAAUUCUUUGGAUUUUGCCCCCCUAUAUACUACAAGAAAAUCCGGGAUUAGCUAUGACGGCCUUUGUAGCUAAUUAGUAGCUAUAUUAUUCUAGUAAAACAUCAAUGUUGUCCAAGACACUACAUUUCGACAUAUCAUGACCGCAAAACAACAUAUAUAUGUCUCGUUAAAAACCUUAUAAGAAAACAAGCGCAGAACAAACAACAUCCAAAAGAAAAAUCUUUUGAAAAACAUCAACAAAAUUAGCAAUAAUCAGGAAAUCAUAAUAACCUAAUGCAGUUAAAUAAAUCAGGGACAAAUGAGAGAAUAUUACCAAACAAAAUCAUUACUUUGUACCUCCAAGGGAAGCAUUUUUGUCUGCACAAUGAUUGUCUUUGUUGUAGAUAUGAGAAACAAUGAAACACAUGUUCUUAGUGAAAUCAACACAAUUCAACCACUUUUUUAAAGAAAUAAUUAAUUGUGUUGAUUUCAAUUAUAAUAAAAUGAAUUUGAAGCCAUUUGGAUCAGUCUGGUGAAGAGUUUGGAUAGUAUGAUAGAAAUCUUAGGUUGGAUCAUCAGCUCCAUUGUAAACAAAAAAUACUAAUAAAAUAAACUUGUUUACUAAAAUGUGCUUCCUAAUGGUAGUUAGUUGAGUUACUUAGUGAAUUGAUUAAUGCAUUAAAUAAUGAUAGUUUAUUGAAAAUGAAAAAGAGAUAAUAAAUGCAUUCUAUUCUAAAGGGGCAAAUAAUUUGAGACAUAGGAAAAACUCAAAAAAGGUAAAGUGAAAUAUAAUUCGAAAAACAACUGGGAAUUGUCUAACCUCUUAAAAAGGUUAAAUAGUGAAGUUUUUUUUUUGUCCGAGUAAAAUAGUAAAGUUUAAAAUAAAAUAAAAAACAAAAAAAAUAAGUCAUCACUAUGUUUGAUCUAGUGGUGAGGGGUUUGAGUAGUACGUUAUAAGUUCUGGGUUCGAUCCCCAGUUCAUUGUAAACAAAAAAAAAAACAAAAAAAAAUGAAGAGAUUUAAUAUUAUAUUAAGGCCAAUUCUUUUGCUAAUGUGUUAAUUAUUGUGGAACGAAUGAAUUAUAUUAUUUUGGUUAUAAAAAUCUCUAUUGGUUAUAAAUAAUUAAUUAUUAAAAAGGUUGAAUAAGAAUAAAAUAAAAUUUGUAAGAAAACUUACUAACCACUUAUAUUUCAGAGGUUUGAUACGGACUCAAAUUGACACUUUUUUUCCGUUAUGAGUAGCAUGAGUGUAGGUCUAUGGUCGUAUAGAGGAUUGUCAAAUUUCAAAUGUAAAUAUUGCCUUCGGUCUUAUAUAUAAUAAAAAAAUUACAUUUUAAAUUCAGUGUGGUGGUUUCAACAAAAAAUAAGAACAAAAGUUUAAGCAGUAGCAAAUUAAGAGAUUGGCAAAGGGUUUAAGGUAGAUGCAUGUUUUUUUUUUAAAAAAAAAUUAUUUAAUAUUCGAUCUAAAGACCGAUUAAUUCAAGAGAACCUCCGUAUUUUUUUUUGUUUACAAAACAAAUAGAUAAAAAGAGUUCUAUAUUGCUUUUAGAGAUUCACCAAACAACAAAAUCUUUGGUCUCACAUGAUAUGAUUUUAUAACUAUAAAUACUUAUUGUGGCGGUGUAGUUAAUAUUUGUUGAAUAUCUUCCAUGUCAACGUACACUACAAACUUGAACUAUACAUGUGCAAUAUAUAUAUUUUGACAAAAACAUGGAUGUCAACGGGGCAUCUAAUUCUAAAAUGUUUAUCAUCUCUGUCAACGAGCGUCCAUGAGUGCGGGUUUGACACUUACCAAACUCACACUCGAAAUCAUCACCCAAACUCAAAUCCAAACCCAAAGACUGUUCGGGUGGCAAAACAACACUCACGUCCACACCCAUUGGGUUCGGGUUUUUUCCACCCAAACCCGCAGCAUAUUUGAAAAUAAUUUGCAAAUUUAAGAAAUUAAAUUCCAACAUAGACUUUGAAUUAAAUUAAAACUAAAAUUAAGGUCUUCUAAGGAAAUUCAAACAUAGACUUUCAAGAAAUUACAACAUAGAUUUUCAAGAAAUUAAAUUACAACUAAAAUUUAAGGUCUUCCAAGGAAAUUGAGGGAGACUAUGGGGAUAAUUAGAUAAUUAUAAAAUAUUUUGGGUGGGUGUAUGGGUUUCGGGUCUGGGUUUGACUGAUACCAAACUCACACCCAUAUUAUCCGGUGUCACCCGAACCCAAACCCAAACUCAAUCAAAUCGGGUUUCGCCUGUUGAUUUGGGUUUGGGUUCGGGUGGGUCUCUCGGGUUUGAGUUUUUUUAUCAUCCCUAAUUUAGUACGAAGGGUUGGUAAACGAAAGACAAGAAUUAGGCAUUAAAACAAUAAUAAAAAGUACAAACACAUAAGGUUUGGUUAGAGCGGAAAUCAGGUUGCAGCUCUGAUAUAAAUUUAAGAGUUAUGAUUCAUUCUUGCUUUUCUUUUCGUGCUAACAAGCAUUUUUCUAAAUGAAUAUAUAUAUAUAUAUGUCAUGUCAUGUUAAAAAUGACUAAAAAUGAGAUGGGUGACUAAUAUUCUAAAAACAUUUAAUUGAAUGCAAAAAAUGAAUUUUAAAAUAUGAAAACUAUUUUUUUCUUCAAUAAAUAAGGGACUAAAACUGUACUUAUUGACAUACAUGCUAAGCAACAGAAACAUAUAUAAAUCUCAUAACGAAGUCAACUAGAGAUAAUGUAUACAACAACAGAAAGUUAUAGGCACAACACGUAUACGAAAACACUUAUUUUUUUAAGAAAAGGAAUUCUCUUUUGACUUUAUAUAUACAAUAUAAUAAUAAAACUAUACCCCGUGCUUUGACAAUUUUUAAUUUAUGUCAAUUAAUAAUUGGAUAUAUAUAAUCAUGAAAUAUUGAAAUUCAUAGCAAAUGUAAAAAUAAUUACACAUUUAAUCAAACAUAACUCGCACUAUUAGAAAAAUUUGACUUUUAUAUCUAUAAUAAUUGUUCUUAUAAGCAUAGUUUAAUUGGUAGAGACUGAAAAUUAAAUCUGAAUUCCGAAUUUUUAACAUAUAUUCACAUUAAAAAGCAAAAUUUUGGUCGCUAACUUACUUGACAAAAAAAAUUCAAUGCUUACAUUCCAACACAAGAAGAUUUUUUAUGAUGCAUUGACAUUUUAAUUAUAAUCAAAUGGUUGAGUAUAUUUUCAUGUUAUUAUAUACUAUGGUAUUGACUUCAUGAGAGCGACUAUUACAGCCAAUGAUACUAUGCUAUUGGACGAUGCAUUGCAACAUUUAUUUUAUUUAUUUAUUGUGUUAGUUAUUUGAAUUUCCAAAAAAUGAGACCUGUUAAUUUAGAGUUCGGUAACAGGACAAAUAAUAUUUGACUAAAAAAAAUCUUGCGGGUAUUAAAUUUAGAUUUACAUGCAUUGCUAGUGUUGAAUGUUAUGUCCUCUGGAAUUCGAACUCCGAUCUUUCCAUUUUAUAACAAGAUAGAUCAUAGACCUACCCUUGUAGAUUAUGAACAAUUUAUAUUAAGAUAAUUCAUUAACCACUUGAAUUUAACCACCUAGAUUGUGGGAUAGUUGGGCACCGACAAAGGUUAUUGUUUUUUCUUGGCAAGCUCUUUUGGGAAGGAUUCCUACGCGGGUGAAUCUUGCUCGUCGAGGAGUAAUUCCUUUGGACGAGCCUUUGUCUUGUAUUUGGUGUGACUCCGCGAGGAAUCGGAGAAUCAUCUCUUUGCUUCUUGCUCUUNNNNNNNNNNNNNNNNNNNNNNNNNNNNNNNNNNNNNNNNNNNNNNNNNNNNNNNNNNNNNNNNNNNNNNNNNNNNNNNNNNNNNNNNNNNNNNNNNNNNNNNNNNNNNNNNNNNNNNNNNNNNNNNNNNNNNNNGGAGAAUCAUCUUAUUGCUUCUUGCUCUUUGGUGUGGGCGGUGUGGUCAAAGGUCUUUAGAUGGUUUGGAGUUUCUACGGCUUUACCCCACUCCAUGCUUUCAAAUUUCAAUAUUUGAGACUUUUAGUGGCUUAUGUUGGAAAAAGAAGCAUGGUUGAAAUGCGGUCAUUUGGACUUUAUGGCGCUCUCGGAAUGAUAGGAUUUUUUUGGGGAGAAUUGUAGAGUUACAAGAGAUGGUGGAUAGAAUUAAGCUUGUUUCUUGGAAAUGGCUUUUGGCAAAAAAGAUUGGUACACCUUGCUUGUUUUAUGAGUGGUGUACGAAUCCUUUUGAUUGUAGAGCUAGAUAGUUUUGGGUAUGAUUUUUUUGAAUUGAGUGGAGUACUAUUUGUACUUUUUCUUUAGAAGUGGAUUGAGUACCACUUGUGUAUUUUUCCAACUCGUUUUUUAUAUAUAAAUAUCAUUUUCCGUUCAAAAAAAAUAAUUUAUUUUAUUUGUUAUAUUAUAGAAGAUAGGGGCAUUUCUAUAAUAAAAUCCCUAGAGACAUGGAAGAUCCCAUGCUUUGAUUUGCAUACCUCAAUAAUUGAUUUAAAUUCUUCCACGUCUGAUAUCUCUUCCACAAUCAAACACAAUAUAUUAAUUAGAAAUUAUUAUUCAUACAAAAAUAUAAUUAAACCAACUAGUAUUGACUUUAUAAGAUCUAUAUAUAGCCCAAGCUAGAGACAUAUUAGUAUUGCAACAAAAGCUAGAAAGUGAACUCAUACAUACACUAGAAGAAGGAAACUGAAAAUGAGGUGCAAUCAUGUGCGUUUGAAUUGUGGCAUUACAAUGCCUCUCAUUGGAUUUGGUACUUACUCCUACCCAAAUGAUAAGAAGAAAACACAAAUUGCUGUCCACAAUGCCCUUGAGGUACUAAACUUAAUCAUAUAGUAUAGGUAUAUAGAUAGAUACUCUCCCUAGUCUCGUAUAUCAGUAAAUUUUCACUUUUUAGGUUUAUUCAAUUAUUAAUAUAUUUAAAAAGUGAAAAUUUAUUUUUUAGGUUCAUUCAAUUAUUAAAAUACUUCGUUCAAUCUUAAAUUAUUAUAAGUAAAAAGGUACAUGUAUAUAUAGUCUAAUUUUGGAAAGAAAAAAAUGUAUCUUUUUUAUUUAUAUUUAAAAUCAGAGAAAGUAUUAAUCAUCUAAUUUUUAUUCGUCGAUUGAGAUUGAGUGACUUCGUUUGUUUUUCUAAUAAAAUAUGUAUAUGUGCAGGUGGGUUAUAGGCAUUUUGAUACAGCAAAAAUUUAUGGUUCUGAGCCAGCAUUGGGCAAAGCUUUAAAUGAGGCAAUAUAUAUGGGAGAAAUAGUUAGAGAAGAGAUUUUCUUGACAUCCAAAUUGUGGGGGAGUGAUCACCAUGAUCCUAUUUCUGCAUUGAAACAUACUCUAGAGUAAGUAACUAUAGAAAUUAUUAAGCAAAAUGUGAAUUGUAUAGAUUGACUUAAUUAUAACCAAGUAAUUUACUUGUACGAUAUUUGGUUGAUAAAAGAUUAUUUUGGUAAUUUAGAUAAUUUGUGUAGAGGAUAAAAAGUUGUCUCGUGGUUCAGUGGGAGACAAAAAUUUCAUAUUUUGUCCCGUCUUUUGGCUCCCAAUUUGUUCAGUCUUAGAAACAGUUUUAAAAUCAAACAUAGUACAGCUGAAGUUGUUUUGUCCAGACUCUUAUUUUUUAGCAUAUCAAACAUACAUUAAAAUUGUUAUAGCUAUGUAGACAAAAAAUAAAUUUUAAACACUCCCAUUUAUCUUAAUCCUUUGUCAUUUAAUUGUUUUUCUAAAAUAAAAUCUCAUGGAAUCACUACAAAAAAUAUUAAAAAAAUUGUGGCUUUAAUUUUAGGUUAUGGCAACAUAUGAAAGAAUCUUUAAAUAAAAAACUUUGGCAACAUUUUUAAAAGUGUGAUCUUGAAACAUGUUACCUAUUGUGUGACAGAAUCUUUUUGAUAUUGCAGCUAAUUAAUUACAUAAAAAAUAAGUUAUUGAAAAACUAAUAUUGAUUUUAUUAUUUUAUUUCUACUUGAAUGCAAAAACAGGAAUCUAGACAUGGAAUAUCUGGAUAUGUACCUAGUGCACUGGCCAGUAAAGUUAAAACCAUGGGUUAAUUACCCUAUUCCUAAUGAAGAUGACUUUGAAAAUUUGGAUCUUGAGACAACAUGGACAGGGAUGGAAAAAUGUCUUGAAAUGGGGUUAUGUAGGUCCAUUGGAGUUAGUAAUUUCUCUAGCAACAAAAUUGAAUGGCUACUAGAUUUUGCUAAUACACCUCCAGUUGUUAACCAGGUAAUUAUUUGGAAAAAAGAGAUAGCCACAUUUAUUUUAAUAUCCUAUUUUCUUUAGACACUUUUUUUUUUCAAACAUUUUAUUGAUCAAAAUUUCACUCUAUUUAUUGUCAACAAAAAAAAAAUUCACUCUAUUUUAGUGAUUAAUAUUUUUUUUGUCAAAUGCGUGAAAAAUUAUGAGUUUAAAUUACGACUCCUACAUAUAAAAAAAUUCAUAUUAAUUGAUUUAUGCUUACAAGUCGAGAAUCUUUCAAAACUUUUCUUAUUGACUUAAAUAAGACUUUAUAUAAGACUCAUUCAAAAAUGUAAGUAGAUACUAUCUCUAGUUUUUUAUAUAAAGAAAACGAGAUGUAUAUUUGACUCAAUUUUUUUUUUCUUUUGUAUAAAUUGAAUAUCCUCUACGCGUAACUGCAACGACUAAUCCCUCAAGUCUUAUGAAACUCAAAUGAGUGAUAAACUUUUUCUAAGAGUUUUAAUACUGCUGCAUAUAUAAGUCAAGAAUCGAACCUAAAACAUUUAUUAAAUUAGAAGAGACUCAUCUAAUUGAUAUUGAGGAGCACUUGUACGCUAUUUAUUCACAUUAUUAGAAUGAAUUAAUUUUCAACAAGUUAUUAUAUAUCUUGGUAUAAUCUUGGUGUGUAUGUAUACUUAGGUGGAAAUGCAUCCAAUGUGGAGGCAAAGAAAGUUAAGAAGGACAUGUGGAGAGCAUAAAAUCCAUGUAAGCGCCUAUUCACCACUUGGUGGGCCAGGAAAUGCAUGGGGAUCUACAGCUGUUGUUAAUCAUCCAAUUAUCCAAUCAAUUGCUCUCAAACACAAUGCAACACCAGCACAGGUAAUUAAAAAUUAAGUCCAAAGUAUUAUUUUAAAUCUUUUUUGUCUUUAACACUUAAGCUUCCAAUAGAAAAUGAGUCAUAGACUUGGUAAAAAUAAUAGGGUAUAACUGAUAAGUUAGUUUAUAAUGAAUGAGUUUAAUUAUAGCGAAUAUUUUUUAGCUUAUAGUGAAUAAUUUAGCUAAUUGAAUUUGUAGUGUUUUAUAAAAUUAGCGGUUUAAUUAGCUUAUAAUUAUGAAAUGACAUAAACAAGAUAUGUUAAAUUAACAUUUACUUUUUUUUUAUGAUGGCAAGGAUAAAAUUGGAAGAAAAAAUGAUAAGCUAUAAGCUCAUAAACUACUUAAAAUAACAUUUGAAAAAUAAGUUAUAAGCUAGUAAUAUAAGCUACACUAGUGCUAUAAGCUAUUUUUAAAAAAACUGUUAUCAAACAUGUAUUUUUUAGUCAAAUGAACUUAUAAGCUAUAAACUAUCUUAUAUGUCUUUCCACUCGGCUGGAUGAUAGAUAAAAUAUAGAUAAAAAGUGUUUUAGUCAAAGUUUAAAUUUGAAUGUAUCAAGAUGUACUAUUAGUUUUUAAAGUAUUUUUGCAAGUUUUGAAUUUGAACAAAAAAUCUACAAUGACAUGGCAUAAUGACUAAAUACAUUUUAGUAAGUUGACUUUGAUUAUGAUUUUUGAAGGUUGCAUUGAAAUGGGGACUAUCAAAGGGUUCAAGUGUGAUUGUAAAAAGCUUUAGUGAAGAAAGAAUGGAGGAAAAUAUGGGAUCAUUUGAUCUAAACUUGGAUGAUGAAGAUAUCUUGGAGAUUGAUAAAUUGGAUGAAAUGAAGAUUAUGAGAGGGGAAUUUCAUGUUAAUGAAACCACAAGUCCCUACAAAACAAUUGAAGAACUUUGGGAUGAUGAAAUUUGAAGCUCAUAAUUAAUGUUGUAAUUUAUUUACUCCAAAAAAGGAAAAUGAAGAUAAUUAAAGAAAAAUUUCUCUCAACUCAAAAAUUUUUCAAUUUUUUCUAUGUCUAGGAUUCUUCUAUAUAUGCUCAAGAUUGAAAAUCCAAAUGAUGAUUGUUUAGAAUGAUAAAAAUUAAAAAUAAAAAAUAAAAAAUAAAAAAGCAAUUUAUUUUGUAUAACCCCUAAACCAACCUUUGUAUUUUAACCAUCAAUAGUUGCAAAAUAUGAAUUCUAAAAUAGGUUUAUAGGUUGAUAUUUAAAAAAUCAAUUUCAAAAAGAAAAACUAGGGCAUUUUAAAAUCAAAUGGAAACAUUUUUUUUAACACUUCAACUAGUCGAGAGAAUCCUCUAUACUUUAUUACUUUUUGUGCUCUCUUUGUUCCCUAAGCACAUCAGUUAUAAAGCUACCCUAGAUCUUGUUGGAACAAUUUGAUCAUGACACUGACACGCAGACGAAGGUUCAGAACAUUCUUAAGUGAUCAGAAGGUUCUAUUAUAAGAUUAGAAUGAUCGCGCAACGUACUUAUAAUUUUAUUACUUGAAUCACUUAUUUANNNNNNNNNNNNNNNNNNNNNNNNNNNNNNNNNNNNNNNNNNNNNNNNNNNNNNNNNNNNNNNNNNNNNNNNNNNNNNNNNNNNNNNNNNNNNNNNNNNNNNNNNNNNNNNNNNNNNNNNNNNNNNNNNNNNNNNNNNNNNNNNNNNNNNNNNNNNNNNNNNNNNNNNNNNNNNNNNNNNNNNNNNNNNNNNNNNNNNNNNNNNNNNNNNNNNNNNNNNNNNNNNNGGGCACUUUUCGAUAAAUGUACGAGAGGAGAUCCACUCUUCAAGUAAUGCCUGCAAAUAAGAUAAGAAAAGUCUCACUAAAUUAUUUGACUUUUAAAAGCUACAAAUGAUGGAACUUGAUAACAAGAAAUGCAUACUUGACUCAAGUCAUUUCAAGAAAUUCAACCUAUCCUACUCCUGCUGAAGGCAUCAAUCAGUACGGCACUGAGGACCAGUUAUUAUUAUCGACUAUCGAGUAACUACCUAAUUUGGUCCCCCAAAUUAGGAACUCGUAUCAACUUAGUCUCGACUUUUAUCGAUAUUCCAAAAUAGGGCCUGACUUAUCAAAGUAUUAUCAGAUUAAUCCCUUCGUUAGGUUCAAACUGUUGAAUGAUGUGUCACGUUGGCACACAAGUCCUAGUACACAUAGGCACCACUUAAGCUACCUAAGUAACGGAAAAGUCGAAAAUCAAAUUGAUAAACCUAUUUUUAGUUGUCUUCUUCCUCUCUUCUUCCUCCGUUGGGGACUAAGUUGAUACGAGUACCCAAUUCCGACUAUAAAUGUAGGUACCAACCAAUAAACACAACCAUUAUAAUUAUUUCCGUUGACUGAAUUAUAGUUAGUUCCUCGUGCACUAUUGAAAUUUGUAACAUCAAAGAGAUACACGCAGGCACAUGACCUGGCUGUACCCUUGGACAAUAAGGCAUGCUAUGAAUGAGAACAAGAACCGCUUAUGCAUGUAACCGUUACUUCCGAGAAAAUAAAAGAUAAUGAAACAACCUUAUGAUCAAAUUCAGCCAUCUUCAAAACGAUAGGCACAAUUAUUGGUUUCGGGCCUGACUUCUCCUUACUAACAGUUAUUUUUUCUAUCUCCACUUCUGGAAGAGAAGCAUCUGCAUCACAAACUAAUUUUCCAUCAAAACAUUAAACUGAAACCAGUGUUAUCAGUAGCAGAAGACCAAAAAUCCGCUAUGUGAAAUAGCAGAUAGUGUUGCAGGAAAAUAGCGGAAGCCACAUAGAAGUUGAUAUAAGUCAAUUACAUAUAUAAAAAGGCACGCUGCAUACAAAUCAAAAAGUGAACGGAGGCGAAGUAUAGCUUAUAUAUUGAAAGAUUUACUUUAUGACAAUGAAUAUAGGUGUAACGUGCAAAUUCUUUAGUUUUAUUAUUUUUUAAAAUCCUAAAAUUCUACUUUUUUCCGCUAUUUCCACUACAUCAGCCUCCUGAAACUGGAAUAGCGAAACUACGAUGGCGUUGCGGUUUUCAUAGUGGAUUCAUCAAAUUCUGCUAUGGAAUAGCGGUAUCGCCACUAUUUGACAACACUGAUUGAAACAAGUGUCAUGCUCAUGCAUAUUAUGGUUUAUCUCUUAGUACUUACUGUUUAUUUCUUCUUUUUUUUUUGGUGAUACUUACUGUUUAUUUCUUAGUACGGAACUAAACAACGUUAAAAUGUCAAAUAAUAGACACUAUUAGACUAACCUUUAUGUUCGGUGUUGUUUCCAUCUAGUCCCACGGUUGACAUGGAAUUUGAUACUGUAUCCACAAUGUUAUCAUUUACUCCCUCAUUCGAGCUCAAAAUCUUGGGAUCACUACUCGGCUCAUCGCCACUACCAACAUUAAUAUUUUGUGUGUUUAUUGCAGAAUUAUCAUCCAAUUCCGCAGACACUGGAUUUAUUUCUUUAUUUCCUGUAUUUACAGCAGAAGGUGUUUUGUUCUCAUCCUCCACUAAAUAAAUGCUAGGAUCCAAAUGUAUUCCCUGUCAAUACGAAAAUAAUAAAAAGAAAGAAAAUGAGCUCCCAAAUGUAUUCACUGACAUAUGAAACCAACAUUUUUCUUUUCAAUAUUUGUGCAUAUUGUUAGAGCAUAUUUUUGUAUUUAUAAAUGAAAUAUUAUUAGAGCUAAAGUGUGUAUAUUGAAGACACCAAAACGGACCGGAGGAGACAAGAGCAUCACAAUUCAUUAAUGAUGGAAUAAUUAACAAAUCACGAGAUUGGUUCACAGCUCAGCACACAGAAAGAGCAUAACAAGUUUGAAAUCGAUGGACAAUACAAAUCACGAGGUUCAAAUCUAUUAAAGUGGGAAGUGUGGUGGGAUUAGGUUCCCCUCGUUAGAGCUAGUUUCAGCUCGGUAAAGCUAGGUUUCAGCUAGUUGGGCUCAUUCACCUCAUUGGCUCUAUAAUGUUCAUGUUUUCUAGUUCAAGAUUUCAUUUACACUGGGAGCUGAAGUUGAGACUAACUACAACAUCAUUUACACUGGGUUUUAAAAAAAUACGGAACCACUGUCAUUUUACUUUUAGGCAUACCUUUGUGAAAAUAAACAUCAUGUUGUAAACUCGUUCAAUCCUUUGUGAAAAUAAACAUUAUGUUAUAAACUCGUUUAAAUGUUUCAGAAUAAUUGAAUUUUUAAGAUUUUGAACUGAGCACGUAUAGACUAAACCACCAAAUCCAACUUCUGGACGGAGAAAAAGAAACAAAACAGAAAGCGGAGAACAGAAAUGGAAGAGAAAAAACGGAGAUUUAAUAACAUAGGUAACCAAUUGGUAGCUUACAAAAUAUCAUAAAUUUCUAAAGUGACCACCACAUACCAAAUCCACGUUGUGUUAUACGCAACUUCCCUUUGCAACGAACUUUUUGGGAUACUUGGUGAGCAUAUGUUGUAUCCUACGCUUUGGAUCAUUUUUAUGGUUUUCUUUUUGGGUGACGAUUCAGGGAUAAGCACUUAAUUAAGUUGUUUGUCCAAACAAGUCUUAAAAACUGAAAGGAAAUAUAUAUAGGAAAUACAUGGCCAUACAUACCUCAAUUAUAAUUGGUUUUCCGUCUUUCAUUGCCUUUUUCAAAUCACCGCCCAAACCUACAAACCAAAUGUCCAAAUAACAGGUGAACACAAACAGUGAAGCAAACUAUAAAGAAAACAAAAUAUUUGUAGCAUUCUUACAAAAAUGGAUUAUUCAAUACAAUUUAUAAUAUGAUAAAGAUCUCAAGCUAGAAAGAACUUUGAAAACCUUUACGAACAACCCUGCAUUCUCUGCAAAAUUCAGUUAUUAACUCCUCUGAUGAAUUGAAGUCCCGAGCCCAAACAGGAGUUGAAGCCAAUGGUGCACUAUAUCAGAUACAAGCAAAUAAUUGGUCAGAUUUCAUUUGUAAACGUAUACGAGUAAUAAUCACGCUGGUGAACAAUGAACUACACAAUUUGAAUGUAUACUGUAAGCUAGAGCACCAUUAGAACAUUACCAACAUUGACUAUACUAUAAGAAUCCAACAAUAAUAUUGCAGUAACGAACAUAUAUUUUCUAAGCAAUAAUAUAUACAGACAGACGGACAAUCAGGUUGAUGCCGAUGAAUAUAAUUUCAGGCCAAACCAUGAGUAUCCUUAUUAGCAUGGUCUGCUUAUGAUAAAUUUUCUUGAAUAAAUACUUGUUUUGUCUAAUAGAACUAUCAAUUAAAGCAAAAAAAUUAGUAAACUUCAUGAAGAAAUAAAGAAGUUCAGGACAUACUCUGUUGAUGUGCGCAACAAUUCGUAAACCAUAUCUGUCUGUCAGAUUCAAAAUUAAAAACCAAAACAUUAAAAUCAUUUGCAAAUAAAAAAAAAACAUCAAAAUAAAGUAUAGGGAUAACUCCUACUAUAUGCAUAUUAACUAGGAAAAAAUAAUUCAGUCUAGUUAGAGACAUCAAAAUGGAAAUGUUAUAAAUUGUUCAGUCUAUAAGUUGUUUCUAAAAAUAACUUAAGUGUAAUUGAAACGUUAUAUGAUCGUCUAUCAUGUUAUUCUUUCAAUAUUUUUAAAAUCUCAAAUAGACUUUGCCCUCUAAAACCCUUCAAAACCCUCGAUCCAAACAUAUCUUAAUUGAACUAUUUCUUACUUUAUAUGAUAAGAAGAUGCAGAUACAAUAAUAGAGACAUUCAAUGCCUACCUGUAAUACGUUUGGCAAAUUAAGUCUUUGUGCCAGCUGAGUUGCAAUAGUAGACUUUCCGACACAAGCAGUUCCACAGACAAGGAUCACUAGUGGAACUCUUUGAUGGUGAAACCUGGAUGAAUGGUGGAAGCAGGAAAAUGAAGCCUAAUCAAUAAUUAUUACUAUAAAAGGUAUCGCUCUCAAGUAAUUUCUUUUUAUUUUCAGCAUUUUAUUUAUUUUCAUAAAACUUGAUUGAUGCUUUUUCUUCAACAUCUUAUUAGAAGUGCUACAACGAUAGGAAAAAUAUGUACACAUAUAGAAAUUUUACAUAUGAAAGAUUUGUAUACUUGUGAAUAAACAGAUGCAAAUUUAAUAUAUGUUUAGAUGUCUGUGAAGACGAAAUAUCUAAUAUAUGCACAUAUGUUUGCAUACAUAUAUCGUAUAGGUGGAAUAUACAGAUUAUAAAUUAUACAUACUUUGUCAUCAUCUUAUAGCGAUUAAUGUACUCUUCUCCAUAUCCUCGCCGCUCCAUAAGCUGCACAUACAGUAUUAGUAUUAAUUAGUAUUUUAAUAAUUAAAUCCCAUCCCCUACCCCUAUUUAAAGAUAAGAAAAAUGCGGCUGAGUGUAUGUCGACAAAUCAAACUAAAACUUUGGCAUACCUUAAAUAGGUUGGCUUCCAAAUCAGACUGAGAUCUGCAGCGUAAAACCGCAGUGAAAGAGAGUUGUUAACUAAAUCUAUUAAAAUCAAGGUCAAAGAAAGAAAGAAAAAAAAAGAGAAAAGGUAAAUGAGGAAUAGAUGGGAUAUAGCAUACACAUCUAGAAGGCUGUUGUCUAUUAGAAGCUUCUUCAGUUCAAGAGCAAUUUUGAUAGCUACAUGGUUUGGAAUCUGAAAUAACAACAAGCUAACAAUGUAUAAGAUUGAGAAUGAAAUCAAAGUAUAAUCUAAAAGAUAUUAAAAUAUGAAAGGAAAAUAAGUGACAUAAACAGCAAGCAUUUGUUACUUAUGAUUCAUUCCUCUAAAGUGAGUAGUUAGUAAAGUGAGAAAAUUGACGGUUGAUAUUUAAUCAUCCAUAUGUUAAGCAUAUAGUAUCAACCAUUGAUUUGUUUAUCAACAAUUGAUAAUAUUACUCACUUUACUUUCUAAAGUGAAUUAUUCACUUUAGAGGAGCCUUAUCCUGCGACUUAGCAGUCAUAUAACUCCAGUCUUUGAAAGUUAAAACAUAUAGCUAUAUGUUCCCGUUGCAUUAACAUAUCAUAAACACAACCAUUGUUUUCAGCUUCCCCGUAGACAUUUGAGAAAGAAAAAAAAUAUUUUCCCCCAAACAAAAAAGACCUAAAACAACCAUGCUAAUCCUAAUCAUAAUCAUAAUCAUAACCAUCUAGGGUGCACAAGUGAGAUAAGUCUUUCACCAUAUACAGGUUUGUUUUAACUAUUGGAUCAAUAAAUCUCACCAUUGGAUCAAAUGAGAUGUGAUGUGACAUAUUGAUACAAUGGUGAAAACAAACUUGUGCAGAGUGAAAGACUUAUCUCACUUGUGCAUGUCAGACAAAGCCUGUAAACUAACACUAACAUUCCAUGAAAAUCAACUAUUUUAUACAUCACCCCAUUUUUGUAAUUGCAUUUCAAAAUUGUUGACAUGUCACAGAAGAAUAUAAGGAUCCUAUUAGAUGUGAAUGUAAAACUAAUUUACACCGAUAGAUAGUGUAUAGCAAAUAAACUCUUCCAAAGACAUGAUAGUAAGAUGCGAUUAGAGUUAUGUAUAAAAUGAUUUUGAGUAAACCACCAAAUUGGUUCCUAUCUCUGUAACUCAUUCUCAAAUAGGUGUUUGACUCUUUCAAUACCUCAAAAUAGUACAUCUCUGUCAAAUGUUUCUCAAUUUGGUCCCUGAUUCUACCGAUAUCUCAAAAUAAACCAUGGAUCUUCAUCCUCAAGUGGUUUGUUAUUAUUCUGAUUGAUUCACCUUUGUUAUAUUUAGUUACAUGCAUUCCUCUAUUUCUAAUUCAACAUUCUUAGUUAACAAAGAGACCAAAUUGAGAAAUAUUUGACAGAGACAGUGACUAUUUUGAGAUAUUAAUAGAGUCAGAGACCUCUUUAAGAGCGAGUUACACAGACAGAGAUCAAUUUGGCGGUGUACUCAAAUGAUUUUACACUAUUAGUCCACGAUUAUUAAACUAAAAAAUAACAUGGUAGCAAUUAGCAGCAUGAGUGAAGAACUAUGAAGCACAGACACUACUCGGAUUAGGCAUGUACCGGUAUCCGACACCGACACUUAUGAUUACAUUGAAUUAUGUCAUUUUUUCAAAUUAUUAUCAUUGUUGACGUGUCGGUGUCUGUGUUGUGUGGUGUCCGUGUCUAUGCUUCAUAGAUAAAGAACAGUUGAAUAAUUUAUACCUUGGUUACAGUUAACAUUCUACUAAGCAAAAAUCUGGAAAGAACAUAGUAAUGAUCCGCAUUAUCACCCAACCACACUUUUACCUACAAAAACAUACAAAACCCAUAAACCAAAAUCAAAUAAAAACAGAAUUUUCAAUAGAAUAUUUGAAAUUGAAACAAACCCAGAUUUGAAAAAAUGCAUAUAAUAAAGAAAAGUUAAGAUUUUUAUGAUACCUUCACAAAAUCAUAUUUGGAAGAAGCGUUACGAGAAGAGAAUCUAACAGAGGGAAAAGAAGGUAAUUGUUUAUCAUCAGUGUCUUCUUCUUCUUCGGCACUGAUGGGGCUUGAUACAUCAAUUUCUUUUCCUUUAUCCUUUUCCUUCUUCAUUGAUGAAUGAUCAAUCAAACCAAUCCUUCUUCUUCCUCUGUAUUGCAAAAAUUAUAUAUUCUGUGAUUCACAUGCUGUUUUUCUUCAAUUUUCCUUUUGUUUUUCAGUAAAAAUGCUUGUGAAAAAAAAAUUAAAAAAAAAAUGUCUUUUUUCCUAUAAACUUUUUUUUUUAUAUUACAUAAUUAUGAGAUGCCGGAUUUGAACCCGAUUCACGAUGUUCGGUCUAAUAAUUUCGGCAUUUUUUGCUAGCACUUGAGCUAGGACUUAUGGAACAUAAAUGUUUUCACUCAAAGAGUUGCACCGUAAAGGUUUUUUAUGUAUACAUCUGACACAUCAUAUGUUUUUAAACACAAUACAUGAUGUAUUGGUAUUUUAUUGGACGUAUGUCCAAAUAAGGUUCACACAUCCCGGAGGUGGGUGACUAAGAAGAAUGGAACCCAUAGGUAUAGAAAGAGCAUAGUUUGUAAUCCAGUCAGCAACUUGGUUUGUCUGCCUAUAUAUAUAUAUAUGAGAAAUUUGAACUUGUGAAUCCCUCGUCUUAAGGCGAUUGAUGAGGGAGAUAAUGGUAGCACAAGGAUGAGAUGGGGGACACCCUUUAUUGAUCAACGCCACAACGACUGAUGAGUCUGACUCUAGAGAAAUGUUCCGGUAACCCUUAUCUCACACCAGUUGAAGAGUAGUUAGGUUACCCCAAAGUUCAGCCAUAAGAACGUACGGUGCACGACCCUAAAUGACACAUUAUUUAUUAUUUAGUAGGGGGUUCACGGUAGGAUUUUGAAUAGUAUUAGAGUCAAAACAAAUUAGUGGUUUCAGUCUUUCCCGAUUGUAGUUGCGAAGAUUCACUUUUUUUUUAAGUGAAUAAGUAGAGUAUUUGGGGUUCGAAUCCCGACUCUUUGUAACGGUGAUUGGAGAAUUCAGUUUCCCUCAACUGUUGUUAAAGUUCUUCCUCGCAUAGACUAUUCGGAUCAUCAUCCCAUAACCAUUUUUCUGAAUGGGAUGCAACAUCAACAAUCUUUGAUUAAAUUCUGGUUUGAGCGAGCAUGGAUGAGUCACCCAACGUACAAAGAUACAUGUUGGUCCGCUUCACAGAGAAAUCAGUAAUAUGGAGAAAGACCUUAUUGAUUGGAAAUAUCAUACCUUUGGUAAUAUUAAACAACGGAAGAGAAAGAUUUUGGCCAGAAUCGGGGGAAUUCAAAGAAGACAACAAACUGGAAAUUCUAAUCAAUUCCUCAAUAGAUUACAAAGCAAUGACAAAGAUAAUGGUGAAUAGGCUUAAGGUUGUAGUGGGUAAUAUCAUCUCUCCGUUCCAAACUGGUUUUGUACCUGGGAGGAACAUUCAUGAAAACAUUGUUAUAGCUCAUGAGAUGUUACACAACAUGGCUAAAAUGAGGGGCAACAAAGGUUUCUUUGUAAUCAAAGUCGAUCUCGCCAAAGCUUAUGAUCGCAUUGAUUGGAGAUUUAUUGAAAAUGUUUUGAAUGAGAUGUCUCUUCUAUACAACAUGAUAAGAUUCAUUUUGGAAUGUGUGACAUCCAUGAAGACUAAUGUGAUGUGGAAUGGUAGUCGAGCAAAUUAUUUUAAGCCGAGAAGAGGUAUUCGACAGGGUGACCCCAUGUCUCUGUACCUUUUUGUUCUUUGUAUGGAUAAACUCUCUCAUCUUGUGACUGAAGAGGUAGAUAAAGGCUUUUGGAUACCAAUGAAAGCAGGGCGAAAUGGGCCUAUUAUUUCACAUCUUAUGUUCGCAGAUGAUUUAUUGCCCUUUGGCCAAGCAACUCACAACACCAUGAAUUCUGUUAUGAACACUCUCACUAAGUUCUGUCAAAUGUCAGGCCAACAAGUUAACCAUACCAAAACGUCCAUAUUUUAUUCGAAUAAUGUUUCUCGCCCUAUUAGAGAUGAUUUGAAUGCAUUAUCAGGUUUUACUGAAGCUUCCUCCCUAGGCAAUUAUUUCGGGGUACAUGCUCUAGGACGUAAACCUCGAAGUAAUGAUUUUUAUUAUUUGAUUGAUAAAUUGAAGAAUAGAUUAGCUGGCUGGAAAGCUAAGCAGCUAUCUAUGGCUGGCCGAAUUACGUUGGCUAAAUCGGUAAUUCAAGCAAUUCUGAUUUAUCCAAUGAUGUCGAUGCAAGUUCCUCGUAGUUUUUUAGAUGAUAUUGAAAAAAUCCAAUGCUCCUUCAUUUGGGGUGACACAGAGAAUGUGAAAAAACUGCAUACCAUUGGGCGGAAUACUAUGAUUUUGCCUAAAUACUUGGGAGGACUUGAUAUUCGUAAUUUGAGAAUUAUGAAUGAUGCUUGUCUUAUGAAGCUUGGAUGGAAUUUAAGAACAAAAAAGGAAAGUCUUUGGACUCAAGUGCUUUGGGGGAAGUAUGUGCGAGAUGGCAAUGCUACUACAGAGCUUGUUGUGAAACUUACUGACUCUAACCUUUGGGAAACCAUUGCUGAUUUGUGGCCUAUAUUGAUAGAGCAUGAAUACUGGGCAGUCGAAAAUCUCGGAGGCAAGUGGUUAGAUGAUAAUACUCGUAUUGGCGAUUUGGUUUCUGUAAUCUCGGAGGAAGCUAGAGGGUGGAAGGUGAGUGAUGUGGUGACAAAUGAAGGAGAAUGGAAUUUUGAUUUAAUCUCUACAACAACACCAGGAGAUGUAAUUAAUAAACUAAGAUCAGUGGUUCCUCCCAGUCAUGAUAAUGAGUUAGAUGUUCAAUUAUGGCCUGGAAAUAGAAUGGGUGUUUUUACUGUUGCUGAGGCAUACAGGAGAUUAGCAGGUUUUCACAUGCAACAGGAAGCUAGGCAGUGGAAACAGGUUUGGCGUAUUGAAGCAACCGAACGUGUCAGAGUUUUUAUAUGGCAAAUUAUGCAUGAUAAAUUGCUCACCAACUGAAGAUUGGCUAAAUGGAAUUUGUGUAGACCUUAUUGUUCGUAUUGUGGCCGGCUUGAAGAGACAACAUUGCAUGUGCUAAGAUAUUGUCCCUUAGCAAACAUAAUUUGGCAGCAUCUUGUAGAUUUUCAUUUUUCAUUGCUUCGUUUCAUCAAUGGAUAGCAAUGAAUAUUUAUAAUGAUAUUGGACAAGCUACAAAUGUCAAAUGGAUCACAGUAUGGCCAUGUUGUUUUUGGAUAUGGAAAUGGAGGAAUUAUCGUGUGCAUGAAACCAACUUCAAGGAAAUAUGGCAAACUUGGUGCUUUAUUCUAAACCAAGUUCAUUCCUAUAAAAUCACGCAGCUAGCAGAGGUAUUUUCAUAUGGAGGAGCUUACCAAAACUGAGAUUCACAUUAGUUGAAAGCCUCCCCGGUGUGAUUGGAUUCGUCUAAAUACUGAUGGUGCUGCCAAAAAGGAGACUGGUAUGACUGGUUGUGGAGGGCUGAUACGUGACUCAAAUGGUCGAUGGGUCGUUGGGUCGUUGGUUUUGCAAAGAAUUUAGGCAACACUAAUGCAUCCAUGGCAGAAUUAUGGGGGUUUUAUGAAGGUUUGAUAUUAGCUAAAAAUAUGGGAGUGCAUCAGCUAGAAGUUCAAUUAGAUUCCUCAAUAGUUGUUGAUAGUAUUCAACAUGGCAGCUUGGCAGGAUAGGGAGUGCCAAAGCAUGGAGCAUUAUUAAAAGAAUCAAACAGUUGCUUGAUCUUAAUUGGAAUGUCCGGAUUAGGGUGUGAGGAAAAAGGUUAGAUCCUUAGGCGUUGCAGGUCGGGUAAUUAUAUAACAACUUUUUAAAUAAAGUACUAUUUUCUAACACUACAUACAUUUGAAGAUGAAUAAAGGGAUACCUGAACAACGAGAGAAUAUUCUCUCCAUUAACUUGAGGGUAAAUUUUAUUUCCAAAUUCUUUGAUUUGGAAAGAGGGAGAAAGGAGAAAAAGUGAAUUCUAAGGGUGGGGUGAUUGGUAAACUUAAGGAACAUGAGAAAAAAUAAAUUGAGAGAAUUCACUCUCCUGAAUGACAAUCAGAAAGUGGACGGAGGUGUAAAACGCAUAAACGUCAAAAAAAACAAAGAAUAUCAGUGGUGUUGUUUUUAUAGAGGGGAAGUGAUCAUAUGAAAGGUAAAAAAUCUUUUUUUAAAAAAAAAUUCUUACAAUUUUUGAGGCUGGUCAUUUCCGUUAUUUAAAAUAAGGUGUUGUAUUUGUGUCUGGUGUGUUUCAAUUUUUGGACACUUCAAAAAAGUGUCGUACACUAUCCGUAUUUGACACAUGUCUGGAGCGGCGACACGCCGUCUGAUUGUCGUGUCGGCGGGUCUAUGUGUAUAUAGUUCACUGCCUCAUUCAACGACAGGUGGAUCCAAACUCUUUAAUAUUAUUAUAGGAUUGGGUUUUGAAAUAAAAAAUAAAAUUAGUUGUUAUUUUUUGGAAGGAUUAUUGAAUUUUGAAAUUAGUUUUUAGAUUCAUAUGAAGAUGAAAGAUUAAUUUUUAUUUGUUGAAAAUCUUGGCGACUCUUUCUACUCUCCCUUUUCUCUUAAUUUUUGUCAAAAUAAAAUUAAAUAUACCGUUAAUGUAAGCUAACAAUUUUUCAAAUUUUUAUUGAAGAUUCGUAUAAAAUUAUUUUACACCAAUACAUUUAUUACAUUAAAAUAAAAUGAAAAGUAGUUGCUUCCAAACAAUACACAAAUAAACCUAAAUCCAUUAGAGUGGGAUGCUACUGCUCCUAAAAUCCAAAUUUCGCAAGAUAUUAAUUCAAAGUAUACCAUUGAACAAAAGCUAUAUGUAUUAUUUGAAGUAAGCCAAAACUCCAACAAAAGGAGCAUUGAUAUAAGUAGUUGGUUCUGAUUGUGAAACGUUAUAUCGUGAGUCUUGAAAAGAAUCAUCAUCUGCUGGUCCUCCAACAAUUGCACCUGUUAGUACAUUCAUAUUAGGUGCUGAUGAUUGAAAAUAUAUGUCUCCGUCACGACACCCCAUAUGUUUUGGAUUCACGUCAAUUGAUGGCAAUAUUGAACCACGAUGGUGUAUCUUCUGAGGAUAUUUUUGUCCGUAGCCUACCAUGUACGACAUUCCUAGUGGAUUGUUUCCUAGAAUAUAGUCAACCUACAACACAUAGAAUUUCGAAAAUCCAUUUCAAAAAUUUAACUACUAGAAAAUGGUACUUUAUUUAAAAAAUUGUUAUAUAUAAUUACCUGGGUUUUUGCAAGAUUAAUGAGAUCAGAUGGUUUAGCAACUACAUUUCCACAUUGUACCUCUUUGUUGUUAGCUUGCAUAUAGCGAGCAUAAACAAUUAACAAAAAAGAAAGUGAUGUUGCAUGUUGUAGAUUACUUGAUCCAACUUUGAAUAGAAGCCCACCUAAUUAAUCACCAUCCAAAACUCAAUUAAAUAUAAUUGUGAGUGAUUUUUUAUUUUGUUUUAUAUAAUAUAUUAGUUUGUACUUCCAAUUUAUGUAAUUUAAAUUUCAACAUGUAUUUUUAUAAUAGCUAUAAAAGUAAGUACAAUUAAUCUCUUACCUUUGGAGUAUGUGACUGAUUUUGUUGGUGAAUUGGGCAACAAAGAGCAUAUAAGAUUGUUUGCAUUAGGAACAAANNNNNNNNNNNNNNNNNNNNNNNNNNNNNNNNNNNNNNNNNNNNNNNNNNNNNNNNNNNNNNNNNNNNNNNNNNNNNNNNNNNNNNNNNNNNNNNNNNNNNNNNNNNNNNNNNNNNNNNNNNNNNNNNNNNNNNNNNNNNNNNNNNNNNNNNNNNNNNNNNNNNNNNNNNNNNNNNNNNNNNNNNNNNNNNNNNNNNNNNNNNNNNNNNNNNNNNNNNNNNNNNNNNNNNNNNNNNNNNNNNNNNNNNNNNNNNNNNNNNNNNNNNNNNNNNNNNNNNNNNNNNNNNNNNNNNNNNNNNNNNNNNNNNNNNNNNNNNNNNNNNNNNNNNNNNNNNNNNNNNNNNNNNNNNNNNNNNNNNNNNNNNNNNNNNNNNNNNNNNNNNNNNNNNNNNNNNNNNNNNNNNNNNNNNNNNNNNNNNNNNNNNNNNNNNNNNNNNNNNNNNNNNNNNNNNNNNNNNNNNNNNNNNNNNNNNNNNNNNNNNNNNNNNNNNNNNNNNNNNNNNNNNNNNNNNNNNNNNNNNNNNNNNNNNNNNNNNNNNNNNNNNNNNNNNNNNNNNNNNNNNNNNNNNNNNNNNNNNNNNNNNNNNNNNNNNNNNNNNNNNNNNNNNNNNNNNNNNNNNNNNNNNNNNNNNNNNNNNNNNNNNNNNNNNNNNNNNNNNNNNNNNNNNNNNNNNNNNNNNNNNNNNNNNNNNNNNNNNNNNNNNNNNNNNNNNNNNNNNNNNNNNNNNNNNNNNNNNNNNNNNNNNNNNNNNNNNNNNNNNNNNNNNNNNNNNNNNNNNNNNNNNNNNNNNNNNNNNNNNNNNNNNNNNNNNNNNNNNNNNNNNNNNNNNNNNNNNNNNNNNNNNNNNNNNNNNNNNNNNNNNNNNNNNNNNNNNNNNNNNNNNNNNNNNNNNNNNNNNNNNNNNNNNNNNNNNNNNNNNNNNNNNNNNNNNNNNNNNNNNNNNNNNNNNNNNNNNNNNNNNNNNNNNNNNNNNNNNNNNNNNNNNNNNNNNNNNNNNNNNNNNNNNNNNNNNNNNNNNNNNNNNNNNNNNNNNAUUCUUCUUAAAAUUUGAGUGUUGACAUGGUGGUGAAAGUUUGUGGGACAAUGGAAUUUGUGUCUCUUGAAUUAGUCGUUCUAUGAGCUGAAUAUUAAGUCUUCAAAAAAAAUUAUUGAGUCAUUUGAAAAUUUUAAAAAUUCAUAAAGUACUUUUAAAUCUUAAAAAUCUAUGUUUUGAAUCCGUUAACAUCUUGUGCUUAAAAUCUUGAUUCUAAAAAGUUUUUUUAAAAAGUCUAUUAAAAAUCUAACAUAAUCUUAAAAUCUUCUGGACUUUUUUGGGCAAAAUUGUCUCUUGAAUUAAUCUCAAUUCAAUAUACCUACCUAAGAUUAUGUUUGGCUCGUCUUCUCUAGACAUAAAAGUUUCUUUAAACCUAAAGUUAAAAUUAAUAGCUUUAAAAAUAAAGCUAAAGUUGUUUGGUGAAUAUUGUUUUAGUAUUUCCAAAACAUUUUUUCUUAAUAUUAAAAUGCGGUUGAUAAAACCAAUAAUGAAUUCGUCCAAAAGCUUGAUUCAUGGCAAUAUACUAGUCUGUGUACCCGUGCGUUGUACGGGACUGUAUUGGUGCUUAGAAUAUUGGUUUUUUAUGGUGUGAGUGAAUCGACAGACUAUAUUUAUUUUAUAACAAUUGAUACAUUACAUUUAGAACAUAACAAUGUUAUAAAAAAAAACUAACAAUUUAAUCAUCUUUAAUUUUAAGCGAGAAAAAAUUUGAUUUUUAAAAAAAAAUAUAAUUUUGUUAUUAAUAUUAGUGGUGUCCAUAUAAAUUAUUGGUUUAUGUUAUUGGUCCAUUAUAUUUAUCAAUAAAGAGAUCUUAUGCAUGCAUCAUGUAAAGUGAACUUUUAGUAAAUAAGACAAAUUAUAUUUUUUUCUCUCUUCUCUUCUCUUCUCCAUAUAUAUCAACGCUCUUGAUGAAUAAUAGUAUAGACCGUAAUUACUAAAAAUAUCUUGUAAAAAGUUUAAAUUAGAAAGAAAAAUCUUGGCUUAAAUGCAAUUUUGGUUCCUCUAUUAAAAUGUGCAAUUUUAGUCCCCCUAUUUUAUUUUACGCAAUUUUGGUCCUCCUAUUUGACAAAAUGCACAAUUUUGAUCUCAUUAUUUUGGUUUGUGCAAUUUUGGUCCCUAUUUUGAAAAAUUUAGAAAUUUGGAACCCCUAUUCGUUUAACAUUUACUUUUGAUGACUUGACAUAUUCUUUAAUUGAUAUAACACAUGAUACAUGUUUAUGUUUAGGAAGAACACAACUUAAAUUUAAUUUUAAUUUCUUAGUUUAUAUCUUUUUUAAUUUAAGAAAUUAUAAAGGGACCAAAAUUGCUCAUUUUUCAAAAUAGGGAGACUAAAAUUAAAAUUACGCAAAACAAAUUAGGGGACCAAAAUUACGCAUUUUGUAAAAUAGGAGGACCAAAACAUCAUUUUAGCCAAAAAUCUUUUAUAAAAUAAAGAGCUCAAAUUGAGAUUAAGAAAGUGAAAGGAUUUGUAAAAAAAAAAGGUAAAUUAUAUACUUUUUGUCCUUUAAGGUUUUAAGUUUUGUUUUGGUUCUUAAAAUUUCUUUUGCCCUUUAAAUUACAAAUGAUCGACAAUUUGGUUUCUUAAAAAAAAAAUCAUUUCAUUUUGGUCAAUAUUAUGUUAUUAAUUUUGAAUACUUUAGUCCCUUAAAUUAUAAAUAUUAAGAUUUUUUGUUUGGCUUUCACCAACAGUUUAAUCUGUUUCGGGAGUUAGUUAUGACAUUAAGUGGUUUCAGCUCCCUCCCGAUCGUAGUUGCGGAGGAUCGAACUGUGAUCCUUCCUAAAGUUCAGCGUCAAUCAUCACUGAACAAAAUAAGAAAGAAAGAAGAAAGAAGUGUAAUGUGGGGUGUUAAAAGGAAUGGGCUUGGCCCAUGUUGACACACGUGAUGUGUGUGUGAUUUAAAGGGAAUUCAAAUCCCCAAAGUGCCUUGUGUGUGCAAAAUAAGAAUUAAGAACAACACAAACUACACUAGCGCUGAGCUAUUUUACCACUCUUUAUCCAUCAUUUCCAUCCCCGUCUUCAUUUCCUAUUUCAGGAGUCUUCUUCCUCCAUCCCCAUGGGUCGCCAGAGUUCCUGCGAAGAUCCAUCAACCUUAAAAUAAGUAUCAAAUUUUUAUUAUUUUCAAUCAAACUAAUUGCAAAAAAAAAUAGUAAAAUUUAAUUAUAAAACAAAUAUAAAACUAAAAUAUUAUUGUGAGUCUUGUGAGAGUAAUAACAUCAUAUAUAAACAAAUGUAUACACAUAUUGUGUGAAAAUAUAAUUAAAAAUAAUUUAUAAAGUACUUAAAUAUACAUUUAUAAAUAUUAUUUUAGUAAAUUAUUUCGGGACGGAGUCUCCGCGGGUCGGAGGAUAAAAUAACGUCUCCAUCCCCAAACCUCUCUCGGGUGAACUUUCUCCUCUAUCGCCAUAGGAAAAAAUUCCCCAUCUUCGAAUCCCAAACGAAGCAAUUCCCGCGAGGAUCCCCAUUUACAGAUGAAAUUGACAUCCCUACUUGUGAGAGAAACAAAGUGCGCGACAACAACCUGCUUUGAGUGAGGAGAUUUGUAUUCAAGUGAUAAUGUGUUGUUUGGUUUGAGCAACAAUAUGAGUACAUUGGUUGAUUUCAACUUAGGUGAUGAUUAUUGUUGUUGUUCCUAGUAUUUACGAGAAGACUAUUUGUGUACCCAUUAUUUAUUUAUAGUCGAAGAUUUAUGUGGCUUGGUCAUGUGAUUUUUCAUUCUCUCACAUGAGAGGAUUUUCAACGUUAAAAUUCUAGUGUCUGGUAUUUACUUUGCUGUUAAUAUUAUUCUGCUCUGGUAUUGGAUUUUUAUGGUUGUCAUUUAAUUGCAUAUGUUGUUGGGAAGAUUAAUUCCGCAUUUUAAAGAGACUCUUGAGUCGUCCACAAAUCCUAGCUCAACUGACAGAAAUGUCGAAAUUGCUAGUGUCGUGUGAGUUUUCAAUGGUUUUGUCAUUUCGUCUAUCAACCCAAAAAAAAAAAGAGAGAGAGAGAGAGAGAGAGAGACUCUUGAGUCUAGUUUUCCCCAACAAAGUGGUAUCUAGAGCUUUGUUGAUUUGUUUUGUGCAAUUUUAAAUGGAGAAAAAAUCAUAGUUGAAUAUGAUUAACCUCAACUCUUCCAAUUACACUCUUUGGAAAACUCAGAUGGAAGACUUGUUAUACACCAACGACUUGUAUGAUCCUAUUGAGGGUGAAACCACUAAAUCGAAGGAUACUUCUAAUACUAAUUGGAAAAGAUGAAUAGAAAAAUAGUUGCUAUUAUCAGAUAGUAGCUCGACUUAAGUGUAUUCUUUAAUGCCUUUAAUUUCACCAAGUACUUGGUAUGUCCUCGUGCUUAGGUAUUUUGUAAUUAUAAUAUCUAACUCUCUCUUUUGUGUAUNNNNNNNNNNNNNNNNNNNNNNNNNNNNNNNNNNNNNNNNNNNNNNNNNNNNNNNNNNNNNNNNNNNNNNNNNNNNNNNNNNNNNNNNNNNNNNNNNNNNNNNNNNNNNNGUCUCUAUUUAUAGAGAAACUUAUGCCAAAUGGUGGAGGGACACAACCCUUGAAAGGUUUUCAAAAUUCAAAUUUGAAUUUCAAAUUAAUCAUUGCAACCUUUCAAAUAUAUUUUGGAAAUUCUCCAACAUUUUUCAUUCUCUCACAUGAGAGGAUUUUCAACGUUAAAAUUCUAGUGUCUGGUAUUUACUUUGCUGUUAGUAUUAUUCUGCUCUGGUAUUGGAUUUUUAUGGUUGUCAUUUAAUUGCAUAUGUUGUUGGGAAGAUUAAUUCCGCAUUUUAAAGAGACUCUUGAGUUGUCCACAAAUCCUAGCUCAACUGACAGAAAUGUCGAAAUUGCUAGUGNNNNNNNNNNNNNNNNNNNNUUUGUCAUUUCGUCUAUCAACCCAAAAAAAAAAAAGAAAGAGAGAGACUCUUGAGUCUAGUUUUCCCCAACAAAGUGGUAUCUAGAGCUUUGUUGAUUUGUUUUGUGCAAUUUUAAAUGGAGAAAAAAUCAUAGCUGAAUAUGAUUAACCUCAGAAGACUUGUUAUACACCAACGACUUGUAUGAUCCUAUUGAGGGUGAAACCACUAAAUCGAAGGAUACUUCUAAUACUAAUUGGAAAAGAUGAAUAGAAAGAUAGUUGCUAUUAUCAGAUAGUAGCUCGACUUAAGUGUAUUCUUUAAUGCCUUUAAUUUCACCAAGUACUUGGUAUGUCCUCGUGCUUAGGUAUUUUGUAAUUAUAAUAUCUAACUCUCUCUUUUGUGUAUGGGUUGGGUCUUUGGGGGCUCAAAUUAUCAUGAUGUGUGUUCUUGAUGUUCGAGUUAGUUGGUAAAGUUUCGCUCUGAUUGUGACACGGGGAAGGGUUCAUAGAGUCUUUUAUUAUGCUUAGUUUAUUUUAAUGGGAAAUGCUAACGAGUGUCCCGGUGCACUCUUUAAGACCUUAAAUAGUAAGUUUUAUAGAUGGAAUAUUAAAAAUAGGUAGUAGCUUAAAACAAUUAUAAUUAUAAGUGUAUUUUCUUUUCUUAUCAAAGAAUAUUACUAGCAAAAUACUAUCUAAAAACACAUUUAGCAAGCCCGUUUGUAGUCCCUAGCACAACUUUCUUCCUUAUUGACCGGGGAAGUUACAAGGAUUUCCUAAAUAAGUUAUUUUUCAGGCAUAAAUUCAUAUACCAGCAACUAAAACACAUGAAGCUCGAUCAAUUUUCUUUAAUGACCAUAUAUUUGAUUCGUAUUGAAUGAAAUGAAUUAAAUUUAUUACAAAUAGCCGCAUCCAACAAUUGCCAUACAUUAGCACGGACGUCUAAGUUAUAUGUUAGUGGCCAUAUAUUUGAUUAGUUUGAAUAAAAUGAAUUAAAUUUCUUACAAAUAGCCGAACCAAACAAAUAGCUGCAUCCAACAACUACGAUAAAGAGCGAUGGACUCACAUUCAACAGUAACAUGGUUAUUACUGUAGAGAUUUAAGUGGGGUUUUUUAAAAAUUAAUCCUCUUAGCGGAACAAUCCCGAUGAACGGAUCUUGAUUAAAUCAUUAAUCACAAAUCAAACACAAACUUAAACACUUUAAGGAUUCAUGUGUUUACCUCUCGAAGGGCAGAUCCUUUGAAGCAGAAACAGUUUCUGAUCACGAACAAAGCAAAAUAGUGAUGUCUCUACUCAGUUCACACGAACAGAACUUCUCCGAUGACCGGUGCUAGCCAAUUCCAACGGAGAUUCAGAGAGAAUAGGGUUUGGAGAGCGGCGGCUAAGUUUCUAACUUUGUGAAUUAGGUUAAGCUUUCAAAACUUCACCACAAGGGUUCUAUUUAUAGAACCACUUGUGUGGUCAUCAAGCCAAGCACUUAAAUACAUUGUACCUUACGGUGGAACGCAUUUCUCUAUUUUCAUAAAUUAAAUAAUAAGUCAUACUUAAUUAUUUAAUUACUAAUAAGUCCUACUUAUUAUUUUAUAAAUAAGUCUUACUUAUUUAUUUCUCUCAUCUAUUUGUCCUUUGUGUAUGACCCUAUAGGUUCUCGUGACGUUAGCAAUAAUAUUAAAUCACAUAUUUAAUAUUAUAAACAGUGAACGGUAUCUAGCAUCACAUCACUGCUACCCAAGUGACAAAAUGUCAUGUGAUAAGAUGAAACAUUUAUGUGAUAAUGAUUGUGUGUAUAAUUACCCUUUUGUCCUCAUGUCUAUAUUGAACACAAGACAUAACAUGUCAUCAUUGUCUAGUUCAAUAUUGGGCCCAUAAACAUUUCUCCUGUUAUGUAGGAGGGACAAAUUUCAUCUAAGUCACUCAUGUCCCUUAGCAUGAUUCGUGGAGUACCCAUCAACCAACUUUAUGGUCAUCCUGUUACAUACAAUGUUUGAAUGGUGAUAAAGCACUCGACUCCUACAUCUAGGGUACAUAGUGGUUUCAGGUCAAAGGGUGGAAUACACCACUAUUACUAUGAGAAUAUCUUAUGACAUUUUUCAUAACUUUUACUAUGUAGUAUUCUCAUGGCGAGUCAAUCCAAUAUAAAUAUUACGCCUAAUAUUUAUAUCUAUGUGAAAACUUGAUAUCUCAUAUCCAUGACUNNNNNNNNNNNNNNNNNNNNNNNNNNNNNNNNNNNNNNNNNNNNNNNNNNNNNNNNNNNNNNNNNNNNNNNNNNNNNNNNNNNNNNNNNNNNNNNNNNNNNNNNNNNNNNNNNNNNNNNNNNNNNNNNNNNNNNNNNNNNNNNNNNNNNNNNNNNNNNNNNNNNNNNNNNNNNNNNNNNNNNNNNNNNNNNNNNNNNNNNNNNNNAUCUAUGUGAAAAAUCACUUAUUUAGAUUGAAAACAACAAGAAAAAAGAUGAAGAGGGNNNNNNNNNNNNNNNNNNNNGAUUUUAGGCCAAAUAUGACCUAAAAUCACCCCUAACUAGUAGAGGAAGAAGAAACUCAAAGAAAAAGAAAAUAGGGCCGGCUAGAGAAAAAGACCGAAGACUCCACUUGUUCACUUUAGAGAUGAAAUUGCAUCUUAGUAUCAUAUGUUCUCGCCUUGUUAUAUAUAUUAAACAUAUAAAUCAAAGUCAUGAUACAAAAGAAGAUUCUAUCAAAAUAGAUUGACUUUUAGGCUUACUCCAGCAAUUACUUCACUAAACUUUUACAUAAUUACAUCUUCCUUAGUCUGACAAAAGGAAGAAAAAGAAAGAACAAUCUUCCACUGUCAACAUCUAAGCUAAAUGUAAAAAAGUGAUUAUUACACAUUGCUAAUGCUACAAUUUUCACCAUGUCAGUGAAAAUAAUCUGUUUUUAAGAAAAUGCCCAAGUUUUAUAAGAAAACUACUAACAAUGUUAUCAAAUAGAAACUAUAGCGUAACAGAAUAUGAACAAACCGCUAUUGUUCUGCAAUAUGCUAAAGCUAUUGCGGCACUAUAAUGUUGUAACAUAGCAGAAUUUGAACAAACCGCUAUUUUACAUGAUCAACGGUUGACAACACUGACUGCUACAUGGCAAAUUUAAGAGUCAUGUCCUUUUAAAAAAUUUACCACCUUUCUUUCCCAUACUUAUUCCUCUAAGACUUGAUGGAAGAAGUGAUUUGGUAUCUGGCCUCCAUUUCAAUUCUUUGAGAGUGGUAAAUAAGGUUGCAAGUGAAGGAGAGAUUUCACUAUCCUUUAUAUGCUUACAUGAGACUACUCUAAGGCUUUGAAGCUCCUUCCACGAAUGUAUUACAGAUUCCAAACCUUCUGUUGUUAGCAAUGAGCAUCCUUCUACGUAAAGCAAUUUUACGCGCCUGAAAUAAAACAGCAAUCAUCAAUACAUAACUUGCAAAUAAUUUCAGCUGAUUAAAGUCACUUCUAUAUCUUCUUUUGAACUAAAAUUAGCAUAACCACCUUCAAACAAAGACCCAAAAAAGAUAAAGAAAUUUUCAAUUUUAACAACGUUGUCAAUUGCGGAUAGCGGUACAUAGCUGUCUGUUCAAAUUCGACUGUACAACAAUGCUAUGUGCCACUAUAGCCGUUAAUUGACAACAUUUUGCACUACAUAGCAUUAUCACGGAAUGAUAAGGAUUUGUUCAAAUUCCGCUAUGCAUAGGCUGCUAUUAAACAACAUUGAUUUUGAAAGCCACGCGUGAAUUCAGUUAAGUUCACUAUCAACUUGUUGCAACAUUAGGACGAGGAAAAGGAAGAUUCACAAAAAUCACACAUAUUAGAACCACUCCAAUAAUCCUGUGGAAAGGAGCAGGAGCCCCUAGACUAAUCUGUUUUAGGCCGGGAGUUAAGUAAAUCAUGGCCACAAAUUGUUCGCUCAUCAGGGAUCAAACUCGGAUACUGGUCAAAUCCACCCCUUUAGAUGGAGCGCAGUAAAAACUUGCGCCUAAUCUCAUUGUUACACACAUUAGAAUUUGAAUCAAUGGGUUGUCAUUUGUCAAUCAAACAAGAAAAUUAGACAGCAUGUUCUAGAGUAAGGUUCCAUAGUUAGCAUUUAGCAAUUAACAGUAAUUGCAAAAGGAAACAUUACCUGCAAACGGUUGCAAAGCCGAACAGGCCAUUAUCCAAUCCCCAGCAAUCCUGAAUAAUAAUCUCCCUAGCAGCCCUGCAAACAGAAAACAAAGCGGAAACGCUCUUCUUAUCCCGCAACUGACACUUUUGUAAAUGCAACCUUUCAAGUGCAGGACAAGAACCCAAAUACUCUUCGAGUCCCGGAUUCAAAUCAAUCUUCUUACAAGACAUUAACCUCAAUGUCUUCAAAUUCUCACAAUACGAAACUCCAGCCAACCAUCCAUCAUCCAUCCUAUGAUCAGACAAAGUCAACUCCUCCAACAUCUGACAACACUUACCAAUAGCCUUAAUCCCAUCAAAACUACCUUCACAACCACAAAGCUCAAGCUUCACAAGCCUCUUACAACCUUGAGCUAAAAUAGUCAAACCGAUAUCAGAAACAACCGAACCAUAAAAACCAUCAACAUUACCAACCAAUUUCAAAAUCUGCAAAUUUCCACACGCCGCAAUCCCACGCAACACAUUAUCACUACACUUUUGUAAUUCCAAUUCCUGCAAUGUAGGACACUCUUCAGCCACACUAAGCAAACCCAUUUCACUAGCACCAAUCACUUGAACCCUUCUCAAAUUAGGACAAGCAUUAGCCAAAGCACUUAAUCCAUUAUCAAUAACCUCAACAGGAAGCAUAUUCUCCUCACAAAAAAACCAAUUCGGCGAAGACCCAGAAUCAAUAUGCAUAUUCAAAACAUUACUACUCAAAAAAAUAUUCGAACUUUGUGUUAAAAUCAAACACCCAGGAAUCAAAUCAACAUGAUUAAGAUUUGGGAAUCUAUGAAUUAACCUACCAGAUAAAACAAAAUUCCAAUCAAGAAUCCGAAUCGAACGAACCAAUCUACCUUGAAGAUUCAACCAUCUUUUACAAACUAAUGAAUUUGAAUUUCUCUGUGAAUCAGGAAGCUUAGAGAGAAUCUUGAGAAGCAGUUCAUCAGAUAACAAAAGGGUUUGAUCAAUGAUUGAGAAAUUAGGGAUUAAUGUGUUGACAUUAUUGUUGUUUGAUUUUCGAGGUGAUGAAAGAGAUUGAAGUUGUUGCAUUGCAGCAGCAACAACCAUUUGAUUUAAUGGCUUUGAUUUUGUGGUGUGUUUCAGCCAUAAAUCUGACCAUCUUGUUCCUCUUUUCUUCAAUGGUGAAGUUGGAUUAGGGUUAGGGUUCUGAGAAUGAUUAUUCUUCUUCUCAGAAGAAAACGACAUCGUUUUAAUGGUUGUAAUGUUGCAGCAGCGUUGUGUUGUGUUGUGUUCUUUGUUCUAUGUUGUUGUUUUUAUGUUUGUUUAUUUAUUUGUUAUUUUAUUUAAUUAUUUAGUGGAAAUGGAUAAUUGAAUUGAAGUGUUUUUAGGGAAAAAAAACAAACACCAACGGAAAUGUUUGUGGUUUUGAAUAUUUUCCAAUCAUUUUGUGUUGCUUUUUGUUUUCUAGUGAUUGGUUCUUAACGGUAUAGAUUUCCACCUUUCAAAACGGAUCCAAAAAAAAUUCAAUAAAAAUGGAGGGACACUUUUUAUUUUAUUUAUUUAUUUUUUGUGUUUGAUAAUAAAGGAACCAUUGAUGAUGACAUGUGUUGAUGCAGUGUUGUAGGCUUACUUAACGGAUAUAUAAGUAGUUUGAAUUGGUCGUAGGUUGUUGGCUUUUACUAACCACAAGUUUUGACUUAAUGAGGGAAUUUUAAUUUUUUGACAAAUUUUUUUUUUUAACAAGCCAAAAUAAGAUAUAUUAACUAAAUCAGCAUUCCUAGCACAAGAGGUACCGGAAUAGACCACAAGAGUUUACAAGAUAGUCAUACAAUCAAAAACAAAUACAAAAGUCAUACAAGGCCCAAACAAAGUAGAUGAUUAGACCACCAGCUAUGAUAGUUUAAAGCUAACGUAAUACACGUCGACUUCAACCACCUAAAUGAAAACAGCUUGAUCUUAUCCAACAAAAUAUGGGGCAAAUCUGCUGAACCUCUGAACAGACGAUGAUUUCGCUCCGUCCAAAUAACCCAAACACAAGCAAGCCAAAUGAGUUGAAGAAAAGAUCGACACGCUCGAGAUCCACCUGCUAAAGAUGUAAACUGGAUAAAGUGAUCACGCAAAGAAACGAAGUCCACCACGGGAAUGCCGAUCCACGAACGCACUAAAUCCCAAGGAGAACCAGCAAAACCGCAUAAAAUGAAUAAGUGAUGAGCCGACUCAGCCUCACCACAUCCAAAAACACACAAGUGAGUUGUAGAAGAUAAAACCCGUCGAGUAACCAGAUUCACUCUCGUAGGCAACCUGUCACACAAUAACCGCCACGAAAUGAUGGAAACCUUCAACGGAACCUGUGGAUGCCAUAUGAGAUUUUCCGCAACAUCCGUAGAAACCAAAGCAUAUAUCAGGAGCUGGUAUGCCCAGAACUUAGGGUCUGUUUGGCAAGCCAAAAAAGCUAGCUUUUGUCUUAUGGCUUAUAAGCUAAAAGACUUGUUUGGUAACCCUCUUUUAAGUUAGAGCUUUUAGCUUAUUUUACUGACUUAUAGUUUCUUUUUCAGAAACUAUUUCAAGUAGCUUCUGGGCUUAUAGCUUCUAACUUUUCAUUUUUUCUUCCUCUUUUACCCUUAUUAUUUUAACUAAAAUCCAUAUUUACCCUUUAUAAUUUAUUGCCAUUAGCAAUUUAAAAUAAAAUAAGUAAAUGCAUGUUUUAACGUUGAUUCUUUUAAAAUCACAUGUAUAUAGUAUGUUUUACUGUUGCCUUAUUAUCUAUUUUAAAUAUGAAAGCUAAAGCAUAUUAAUUUUUUUAUCAAUUCACAGGUUACCUUACUAUAAUUUUUUUUUUUAAACAACGUACCUUACUAUAAUUAACCAUUAUACUAUAUUGUGAAUAUAUUUUGUUGUUAUUUUCUUGUUGUUAUUUUUUCAUAAAGUAUAUCAAUUGAAAGGAAAAUAAUUUUUUUUAAAAAAAAUCAGCAUAUAAAAAUUAGUUUAAUAAUAAUAUUUGAAGGAUAUAUUUAUUGAAUUAAUAAACUUAAAAUAUUGUAAAAAAAAAUAAACUUAAAAUAUUAAAUUCUUAAGUAUUUUUUUUUAAUAGAAUAAAAUAUUCAUUCAUUCAAAUUGAUAGAUACAUACAUCAGAUACAAGCACAAAUUUAAUGUCGCUAAAAACGUAAAGGAGGAAUCUGCGAACAAACUCACAGCAUCCAAGUUAAUAGCAUAAAACGGCAUGCUUAGGCCUACAAAUAAUGUGACAAAAUAAAAGUAACUGAAAUACCCAUGUCUUCGGAUCUUCAUCGUUGAUGACCUUGUCAUUGAUUGAAUCGGUAGUUGAUCAAAGUUGAUCUGUCAAUCUGAACCAAACGAACGCCGCAAAAAACAGGAAAGCAAACAAGCACCGCACGAAGACGGAGAUCAAACAAACACCGCACGAAGACGGGACGCACUGAGACAAAGAAAUCACAAAAUAAAACAAAAAAAACUCUAAUCUGUGUGAAAUUUCACUUAUUUAAAUAAAAGCAAAUAUAAAACGAUCAAGAGGGGUGAUUUUGGAUCAAAAUUGACCCUAAAUCACCCCUUUUUAGAAGAUAAACAAGAAGAGAAGGCAAAGAUGUGUUAUUAUGCGGCGGCUAGGUUUUUUUAGGUGUGAAAGAACAUUUUUUUGGCUAAAUACAUAAGUUAUUGUUAAAUUCUAAGUAUCUUAAAUAGCAUUAAUUUUAUAAAAAAAAUUAUUGAAUUAAAGAUAUCCUUUUAUGUCAUUUUACAUUUAUCAGUCAGUUGAACCACAAAUUUUACCAAACACUUCAAUUAGCUUAUCAGCUAGAAGCUAUCAACCAUCAGCCAUAAGCUAUUUUUGCCAAACAGAGCCUUAGAAUUUUGGACCACCGUUAGUCCAAAAAUUAGGAAAAAGUGCCAACUUUUAUUUAUUAGUAAAUAAAGUUUGAUAAAAAAUAUUUAAUUUAAAAUUUGAACUAAUAAAUAGCAGUAUAAAAUUUUAAAAAUUUUAUGUAUAUGGAAGUGUCAACUAACUAAGUAGCGAACUCAAUUAUCUACUUAAGCAGUGAGCUCAAUUCGCAAGUAGCAGAAGGAAUAUUUUUUGUAAUUUCAGCGAGCGCGCUAGAAAACCUAGAGGACGAAAAAAGAUCUACAAAUGUUUGUGUUUCUAGAACUAAUUCUUCCUCAUGAACAACGUCAUGAUUUCGUUCCUCCCAAUUGUCUUCAUUAGUCUCAUCAUGCUCCUCUUUAUUACCAUGACUAUGCUCUUGCAGGCUUCUUCUAACCAGUGUUUUAAAAACCGGACCGGACCGGCCGGUCAGACCGGUCGGACCGUGAACCGGAUGGGUCACCGAGUUGGUUCGCUAACUGGACCGGCCAUGUAAUUGAACCGACGUGAACCGGACAAAACCGAAAAAACCGGAAAAACCGGUGAAUCGGCGGUUUUCAAACCCGGCCGGUUUAAAUGCAUGAUUUCAAAAAAAAAAAAAAAACUAAGAACCCAAACCGUUUUGCAGUCAAAACAUGAAGAAUAAAUUAAAUAGAAACCGAACGAAGAAGUGAAGAUUUUAGAUUUAGAAGAAUUUUUCAGUUUUCUAAGAACAAGAACAAUAUAUGAAACUGAACAGAUUUAUAAGAAAUUAAAUAGAAACAAAGGAAGUGAAGAUUGAAAGUGUAACAUAGAUUUAAUCUUGCAAUUUUAGAGUCAAAUUUUUUUUUUUUAUUUCAUGAUGAUCUUAUUACUUCUCAUAAGUAUUAAUGAUGUAUGUCAUGAAAAUAGAAGAGUAAAAAUAGAGAAAGAAGAAGUGAGAUAGAAAGGUGAAGUGAGAUCUGAUGGAGCAGCAGAAGAAUGAGUGGGUAGGCGGCUGGAAGAAAGAAAAGAAGAUUAGGGUUCAGUUCAAUUAGUGGUCUUAUUUUAAGAGAUGGUCAUUGGGUACUUUAGGCCCAUAUAUUAUUUUUGAAACAGAACUCAUAUAUAAUAAUAGUAAGAUGUUUUCUCUCUCCAUCUCCCAUGAAUCUCUUAUACUCCAAUAUUCCAAUUUUGUCCUUGUAAAAAAAUUUGGUUCGCAGAAACCGAAUUUUUACUAGUGCAAAUUCAGAGUAAAAUUCGGGUUUUAGAAACCGAAAUUUAUUUUCAAGACAAAAAAAAAUUAAAAACUUGCUUAACUUUCUUACACCAUCUAUAUUUUUAUUAAAAUAUAUUAGAAAAUAGAAAUAGACCUUAUUAAAAAAAUUAUUUGAAUUUGUAUUUUGUACUAUUUUGUUAUAUGUGUGAUGAUUGAUUAUUUUUAGAAUUUGUAUUUAAAGAAUAAAUUUGUGAAAUUAUGAUAUUCUAAAAUUUUCAUAUUUUUUAGUUUUCAUGAUUUUUUUAGAGACCGAGUCAUCCGGUUUAAUACCUAUAUAAUUUGGUUAAAGAGACCGGUUCAUUCCACCGAUUUAAUCUGGUUUUAUCCGGUUUGUCAUGCGGUUCGACCAGUAGCUCAGUGGUUCGACCAAUGAACCAGUGACCCAGUACCCUCCCCGGUUCGAUGACCGGUCCGGUUUUUAAAACACUGCUUCUAACCAUCUCAGGCAAUUGGUUCAAUCAAGUAUGUGAUCUUAAUCUCUUCUACAUGAUUCUUAUCAACUUAUGUAUUUUCAUGUUCAUUACCUAAAACAUGAGCAAGAAUUACAAGUGUUUCCCUCAAAUGGUCAGAGUUGUUAAACUAACACAACCUUAGAUACCAAAACAUAGUACAAAGGAAAUACGAUUUUGUUAGUGUUUGUAAUAAACUUUGCAUCUUUUGGAAUAAAUAAAAUUGCAUCUUUUGGAAUAUAAAUUCUUUUACAACACUAGUCUCACGUUUUAAUUUCUAACAUCCUAUUUUAAUUUUAUGUAUAAAAACCAACAUAUUUGCUCAAAACAUAAAAGACUUGUAUAAAAAAAAAUAUCAAUAAGACGACAUUUCUUAAUUUAAAAAUUCUAUGACUGGAUUAAACUAAAAACAAGAAAAUAACAUUAUGGACGUCAAAAUCAAAAUCGCAAGAUAUGCAAACUUGAGACCAAAAUUGAGAUUAAACUAAAGAUAUUUUCACCAAUAAAAGAGAAAAAAUGCUUAAAUAGGCAAAAGGCAUAACUUGGAAGUUGGAAAUAACUUUAACUAAUUACAUUAAUUAAAAAUUCUGUAUAUUGCUUCAACAAGCUCUCUCGCACAAAACAAACAUAAAAUACAAUUAGAUAUAAAACAUCAUGAAAUGCAACAACUACAAAUAAUUAGCAGAUGAAGAACCAAAAAAGAUUUCCACAAAUGGACUUCAAGUUGCCAUAAAUAUAUCGAUAAUCACAGGUGAUCAAGAACGGGGAGCUGCCAUUUGCAUCUUCUUUACCCUAUUCCCUGCCUUCACCAAGCUGCACAUGCAAACACAAAAAUACAGUCAAGAUUCUUUUAAACUAUUCUUUUAAUAUUUCUUCUUUUAUAAAAAUAAAUUUAUCCAAACAGAAACUUAAUCAAGUAGUAGUAAUUGAAAUUGCAGGGGUUAAGCUUAAACAGUAGUUAACGUUAAACUUUCUAUCUCCCAUUACUUUUCUCUAGUUCUUAACACCUACCUACUCAAAGUAAUAUUUUAGGUCAACUACUAGUAUUUUUUGGUGUAAGCCGUUUAUCCUCUGCAGGCAACUGCAGAGAUUAAUCGCUCGAGCCUUGUGGGACCCAAAUGGGUGGCAAACUAAGAGUUUUAAUGUUGCUGCAUGCCCAAACUAAAGAUCGAACCCAGAACCUUGGUUAAGCUAGAAGAGACAUGUGUCAUCUCAUCUAAGCGCUUUUGGGUGGUCAGCUACUAGUAUAGUACAACGAGUACAAGCAACACUUAACAAGAAUCCCAAUAUUCUAGCAAUCAACACAACAAAGAAUCAUGUCUACUCUUGAAACCAAUACCUAGUAUCAUGUGGGGUGAUCAAUAUCCACUGGGAUCCUUGUGCCUCGGCAAAAUCUAUCAGAGUGUCCAUGCUAAUUUUUCUGCUUACUGCGUCCUGCAUAUCAAAACCAGUUCCAUAGUAGGAAAAGCUUGUCAAUAAAGAUUUUAGAACUUUGUAUAGUAGAUGCUUAAUUUCAAACAACUAAUUGAUAUCUAGAGAUAAAAUUAAGAAGUGUGCAAACAAAACACAUAAUGAUCUAUUUAGAGUACACAGGAAAAAUUAUAAUGGUGAAUUAUUAGCAGUAAACAGUCAUACCAUAAAGACAUCAAAUUCAUCCAUUGCUCUAAAUGGGGACUCUGUCAUUUCAUGAAGGGCUAAUGCAAAGCACAAAGUUGAAAAAGAUCGCUCUCCACCUAUUUAACAGAAAAUAAAUAAAUAAAUGCACAUAUAUAGACAGAUGUUACGUUACCCUAUAAUUCACAUAGGCUCUAAAGAUAUAAGAUUGUAGAUACUGUUGUUGUCUGGAUAGCAUUUUGUUAUAUCUAUAAUGACUCAUGCUAGCUAUUUGGAUUUUUAUUUUUUCUGAAAUUAAUUUUAUAUGGAUUUUGUGUUCUAUUAUAGCCCUAUAUUGUAAUGCACCCAUAUCCCAUGUCUUAACCGUGCUUUCUGGUUUUCCCUCGAACCCAAAAGUUACAUAAGAACAAAUAAUACAGUUAUCGUUUUCUAAUGUCCCGCUGCUUUGAAACUAAAGGAGACAAAAGAACUAAUAGUUUAUCCUCUGACAGAAAGUAUAAUAUUGUAUUCUAUAAUAAUAACACCACAUCAAACAUUAUGCAACAAACGAACCUGAAAGCCCCCUUGUGUCUCGAACGGCUCUGUUUGAUGCAUCUUGGGGCAUCUGUACCUGUAAACAAAGAAAAAAAUUAAAACAAGUAAACAUUUUAGGUCACACACCUGAAAUGAAACGCAAGAAACAUUUCGCCAAUUUGUAUCUAAUUACCAUAAAAAGAUUGAAAAUAAAAAUAAAAAGUAUCCAAGACAAGGGACAGGAAUUUACCUCAAUCGAUAAGGUCUUCUGCUCAUAAUCCACUUUGAUAACUCCACUGAUCCCCUUCUUUUUCAAAUGGCCAUUAAAUCUGAUCAUGAGGAUAAUUUAAAGAAGUCCAGGUUAAGAAAAAGAAAACAAAAUCCUCUUGACAAUGGAAAACAUAGCAACAAAAAAGAUACAUAUGAAAGGAUUCAUACUUCCAAGAAAGCUGAUGCUUGAGAUUAGUUGCGUUAGUCUGAAACUUUCUCAUCCGAAACUCUAAAGCACUUUGGCAAGCCUUCAAUAAACAAUAAAAUCACCUCAAAAAUGAUGAAUUUGUUACUGUGUAUAAAUCAGAUCUCACAUUCACCUCUAUUUAAAAUAUUGUAUACAAUAAAUGCAAAUUUAUAUGAAUUGCUAAUUGAAAUCUUAAUCUAUGAUUCUGAUCAUAAAUAAUAUAUAUAAAUAUAUGACUUUCAUUCUAACAUUCCCCCUGAAGUUAAAGCUUAUUAAGUGUAGACUUGAGGAAUCACUUUCUCAAUAUUAUUUCAAAAGUAAUUAUAGUACAAUCACUAACCUGUUUAAAUGAACUAUGUUAUACCUAAUGGGGGACUAAUUAACAGGCCAAAUACAAUCUAUGCAAAUAAUUACACAAUUUCAAAUUAUACAUACAACACUCCCAACCCAACUUGCAAGUUAGCUAAAGUUUUCUAUUGGUAAGCCCUUUCAUGCCCAAAAGGAAUGUAGGCGGGAAAGUGGGUUGAUAAAUACACCCUACAUUCCUUCUGGGCAUCAGCAGGCAGAUGUAUGAACAAAGGGUUUACCAACCGAAACAUUCAAUCAACUUGCAAGUCGAGAUUUGAGAAUGAUAAAUAUUUAUUCACCAGCUUGGAAGGGAGGGAUAUAUAUUAUAUUAUGUAAUUAUUUGUAUAGAUUGUAUUCGGCCUGUUAAUUAGGCUCAUUAGGAAUAGCGUAGUCUAUUUGUAAUGUUUCAUGAUUGUACUCUAAAUACUUUUGAAAUAAUACUCACAAUUAUUCCUCAAUUCCACGUAGAGAAUAGAAGCAUUCCAAACUUCCAAAAAUCAGUGAUGAAGACUCAAAUCAGUGAUAUCCGACUUCAAAUAGGGCAUAUUCUAGGAUAACAAUAGUAAAGGCGGAAUUUCCAACAAUUUGUAUUACCUUUCACUCUAAAUGAAAAAUAUUUGGUUGCAAAAUAAUAUAGAAUUAAUUUAAUUUUCCAGAACAAACUACGUGGAAAAAGUCAAGUUUUAUAUGAACACAUAAAAGCACAUUAAUGAUUAUACAUCUAAUACAGAGCUUCAAGCAGGAGUCCUUCGGCUUCAGGUUAAGUGUACAUUAUGCAUAAACCCAUGUAACAAACCAUCACAAAAACAUAAACUUUUGGGAGCAAGCACAUAAACAAUUUUACUAUCGAACAAUAUCCAUAAAAAAUGUAUCAAUGGUAAGAUAACAUAACCAAACAAUACAUACACUCAAUUUCUGUCGAAGGGCUUUGUAAACUUGCUGCCUUCUUAUAAUCUUUCGUUCUUUUUUUUUAUAUAGCAUCCUCAUAUCAUCAAUAGAUUCGGAGUAUCUACAGAGAGAAACAAAAAAUAAUGAAGCAUUAUUCAAUGUGUGAAUAGACUGUGUGUGUGUGUGUGUGUGAGAGAGAGAGAGAGAGAGGGAGAUAGAGAUAGAUAGAUAGAUAGAGAGAGAGAGAGAGAGAGAGCUGCUGCUAGCAUGUAAUCCUAUAAUAAUGUGAAUCAAUAGUCUAGUGUCAUGCCUUUGGCUCUCACGCUUAAGUGUACGAUUUAGAUCUUCUAGUUGGCCACUGAUUUGCUCUGGGGUUUGCCCAUCACAACCUCCUAUCGUAGCAAGUUCAUUCUGACAGCAAAUUACAGAAGCCUUCUCAGCAUUUACCUGCAGUUUCAACCAAGGUUGGUCUCAAUAACUAUAGUUACUACUAUAUCUUCAAUGAUAUAUAAUGCAUAAGAAUUAUCGACCCUUAUACACAGGUUUUAAAAGAACAAUAAGGUCCUUUGGUGUUAUGCUCUUUGUGUGACAGGAUAGAGUAUCCAGCAGGAGAAGAUAUGUUACUUGCCAGGAUACUAGAAUAUUCUAUUUGAACAUUAACACUAUUAAGGGAGUACUUGUAUAGUAGUAUUUGCAAUUAUUUUAUAUUUAUGACAUUUGAUUUGGUUUAAUGUGUGAUUUUGUAUGUUAUGUUGACUUAUGACAUUUUUAAGUGGGAUUUAAUUCUUAAUGGUGUGAAGUUAUGAAUAUUAUAUUAUUUUUCCUUUUAACGUUAUAUGAAAAAAUUAAAAUAAUUAUUACUGGUAUACCCUCAAUCAGACCCUUGAGCCUUGAACCGCACCGGUUCAAUGCUCAGUCUGGUUUUGAUUAGUUGCUCUCAACAGACCAUAUAUUACCUUUGCCUUAAAUCGUAAAAGUGGCAAUGAUGAUCCAUGAUUUAAUCUACAAAAUUAGAUGACUAUGACUAAUAUAAUUCAAAUUGCACCUCACGCCUUUUUGUAAGCUCCAGAUAGUGUUCCUCUGCCUCCUUAAUAUCAUUUAGGACCCUGGUUUUCAUGACAUUAUCAUAAUGAUCCUUCGCCUGUAGUUUUUAAAAGAUAAAUUUAUUAUUUAAGAAAUAAUAGAAAUUAUCAUGUGUUAGCAUUGCACGAGAAUAAAGAAAAGAUACCUUUUUUGCUGCAUCGAUUUCUCUUUCAAUAUCCAUAAGUUCACUCUCAGCUUUCUCAAGGGAAGCAAUUUCAGUAUUCACUGAUUCUACAUUUUUAGGGUACACAAAUGAUUAUGCACCAUACAACAUUUCUACAGUUGAAUCAACAUAACUGCAUAUUAACACACUCAAAGAAUUAACUAGCAAUGCACCAUACCACACAAUUCGUCAAAUUUUACUUCAAGAUCACUUGCUUUUCCCACUGCUUCAUGCCUCCUCUGCUCAAGGCCUUCUAGCAACACCUCCUCUGCUUUUAUUUUUUUGUUUAUUUCCUAGCAUUUAAUUUAAUAAAAAAUUGAUUAAACUCUGUGUUAAUAAAUUAUCACAUUAUGCAGUAGGGACCAGUCAACCAUGUUUCAAAAGGUAUUAGGCAAGAACAAAUCUCAGGGAAGCAAGAUGCUUGCUUUAGACAAAACUGGAAUUCUAGUAGUGUAUCUAUUUAUUUGAUUUUAAUUUCACUCCAUUUACCAGCUUUAUAACUGUGAUGUUCAAUAUAGUUAAUCCUUUUAAUACCCUUAGUAUUAUAUAAAUUCACUAAGAUUUUCACAUGGUUCCAAUUUGAGCGAAAUUCAAAAGCAGUUGCAUGAAUCUACUAUACAAUUCAUUUGUCCAAAUUGAUUGAUCCAAUUACUAGUUUAAAUUCAAUAUAACAAAAUUGGUUAUAUCACAAAUAAAAAAAGUUUUGAUGUGAGGUUGUAUGGUUUCCUUUCCUCUAUGCUCCUCUAUUUUUAUUUUAUUUUUCUUAUCCCCUUCCACCAGAAGUGUAGAGAAAUGGGUAUACGCCUACGAAGUUGAAUUCCACAAUACCAAGCCCCAAUCGUGCGCCCCAAAACAAACAAGCAGAAUACUUUUAGAGUGAAUUAUGGCACAUUGAGCCUUCAAUUGUUUACAAAACUGCUUAUACCAAGUAAUGUGUUGUAAGAGAAUAGAUGAUAGAAAACAUACUGAAAUUUCUUCAACAAUCUCAUCAACUGAGGACAAAGGUGUCAAGUUACGCUCAGCAGCUUGUUGAUUUGUUGCCUCCUCCAAAGCAAGCUUCUUCGAAUUAAAACUUUUUCCAGCAUUAAAACAAAGCCUCUAAAAGAAAAGAAGAAAAAAAUAUUGGAACAAAUACACAUCAACGAAUAUUGGAUAUAUGAAAAUGCAAGAAAUUAAAGUAAAAGAUUCUUUUCUUCAAGCAUGAAACAUAUUUUUAUCUUGUCCCCUUUAAAAUGUCUUUAAUACCAAGGAAUUCAAUAAGUUAAAUUUUAAGGUAUCCCAAUAUAUGUUCUUUUUAAGCUUGUGGUAAUCAUGGUUUUUGCUUUUAUGCAGACAUUAACACAAUGUUUAUUCAAGGCAAUCAUGAAGGCUUUCCUAUUUAUGGAUUUGCAGGCACUCAAGAGCUCCACAAGUUUUUUUACAAAUUUAAUGAAGAAAACAAGGAUUUAGGAGGGUAAAAGAGAAACUAGCUGUAGACUUUGAAAUCAAGGAUCCUAGCCUUGAGAUACUUUCUUGGUAUGAAGGUGGCUCGAUCAAAGAAAGGAACUGUAAUCUCACAACAAAAAUACAUUCUGGAUAUCUAUUUAAAGAAGCAUGAAUGAGUGGUUAUAGGCCAGCUGACACCCCCAUGGACCCUAAUGCAAAUCAUCUUUGGGAGAAAGCAAGUGUUCUUUGAUUAAUAUGAAAUGCAGAGACUAUAUUUAAGUUGACUAAUAUGAAUAAUGGAAAGGGUAUAGUUAUUCAAGUUCCCAGUGAGUAAAGGUGUGAGGAUGAUACAUAGUCGUGCUAGAACAAGAUAGAGCCAAAAGGCUUUAUUUGUUAUUGUUGUGAUAGUCGAUUCGCCACUUCUUUUCAUGAAAACAAAAUCUAAAUAUUAGCUAUAUAGGAAAGUUAUAUUUCAGCCUGGUAAUUGUGCACACAAAUUGUUUAGAAAGAUAAUUUUGAAAACCGCAAAUCACAUAACAAUGGUCUAUAAUCUAAACAAUGUUUCACCUUUAUAGAAUUCAUCUUCUUGUCUAGAUCCUCAAGCUUGAGCUCUGCAUCUUUUUUAUUCCAUUUAUAGUCAUUUGCAGCUUUUUGUUCAUCGGAGGCAUCAUUACUAAAUUUCUCAAUGGCAUCUUCAACAGAACUACUUAGACGACCAUAUCGUUGACUCUUAUUUGGAGGAAGAGUUGUCUGUACUGGACCUCGCGAAAACCUAGAGAUAACUUAGAUUAGAAAACACAAUUCCAAUUUAUGGAUGGAAAAUGCUUAACUGUAUAUAUAAUACCUAGAAAUUUCCAAUGUUUGAGGCUCUAGCCCAUACAAAACUUUUGCAGUGAAUCAACAAAACAGCAGGAAGUAGGAUGUUACAUAUGCUUACAAACAGGUAUUGCAUUUCAACAUGAUAGAAAUUGGACAAGUGAAUAGAAAAUUCAGAGAAAAAUAAUAGUCUUUUAAAUUAUGUUUUUCUAUUCGGAAUUAUACACGUUACACCGGUAUUUAGCUCAAAAUGUUAAGCUCUUUUCACAAGGUUGCACCUAAUUGUCAGAAAGAGGAAAACAAGAUGCAUGUGAGAGAAUUUGUGUUUUUAUUACACACCAAAGAGUAAAAAUACAACUCUUUAACCCCCAUUAUUGAGUAAAGCAAAAAAUGAAGAUGUGUAUGUGAGAAAGGAUGCCCGUCAUGGCAGUGCCAUAGGCUGAAAUAGCAUGUUUAUAAUGGAGGAUAUAUUUUGGCUUUCGCCAUCGACAACACUGAUGAUAAAUGAUAUUCAUAAACGAGAAUGUUUCAAAUGCUUAAUUAAAAUAACAAUACAUAAAUUUUAAAAGCUUAUUUAUUCUACCUUUUUAGGAAAAAAUUAGAACAGGUGUUCAUUAUAUUUUUAGAUGUGCCUGAGUUGUGUUUGAGUAGUGUCGAGGUGUGUCGAAGCAAAGAAAAAAGGGUUCUUUCGGUCACUUGUCCAAGUUGUCAGACACCUGUAAUAAGAGUGUUGGACACGGGUGCAUGUCGGACACAAAAACACGCCUAAUUCUAGUGUGUUUGUGUGUGUAGCGCGGCAACCCAAAUCUAAUCAAGAACCAAUGGAUGCUUUGCAGGUAACCCGUACAAGGCCAACUGAAAAUGGUUUACUACCAAAGUUCCUUGGCAUGAAUGGCAGCCAGGAGCAAUAAUGUAGGACACAUGGAAGGCAAAGUCAACCAGCAUUUACUUACAUUUUACAACCUUCCACAGUGAAGACCUCCUUCAGAUUUUGGAUCCUUUCUUCAAAGGCAACAACCUUCCCAGUAUUAUAGUCGUUAACAAGCACUUGUCUCUCAACAUUUCCCUAGAAAGCAAGAAACAUAUUAGAAAUACUAAUAAAACACUAGAAACUUGGAAGUAUUGCUAUUUUAAUGUUUUGCCAAAUUAUGUUUCUUCUACAGCAGGGAGAUAAAUAAAAUCACAAUAUUAAAAUAGAAAACGCAAAAGUAAAUGAGGAUUUUAAUAUAAGGAAAUCAUCAAGAGAAAGAAAUGGCAACCACGACAAUUUAGGACGACAAGAGAUCGUUCUUGCAAAAUAAAAAUAGGACAAAUAAAAGGAAACCCAAAAAAAAAGAAUAUAUUCAACAAAACAAAGCUACCCAAACUCUAAAGAUUUCCCGAAAACAAACCUAUGGUAUAAAUGCGAUGGGCGGUUCACAUAAAGUACAGGCGAAAAGGAUCUUUUCAUCCAAAGAAACAUCCUCAAAGAACCACCAUAUGAUCUCAUAGGAGCUUAUCAUCCAAAAAAAAAUCCUUAAAGUGAGAAUUACAUCCCANNNNNNNNNNNNNNNNNNNNNNNNNNNNNNNNNNNNNNNNNNNNNNNNNNNNNNNNNNNNNNNNNNNNNNAAAAAAAAAAAGAAUUGCCACAAAUAAUUGGCUUCUUUUACUUCUCCCAAAUUUCAUAAAGCUAGUCAAUAGACACUGAUCCAAGGACGUAGGGCGAAUUCAACACUACCAUAAAAUACCAAACCAAAAAUACAUCCAUAAGGCAACAGCUAUAGAGCAAUGCAAGAAGUAAGAACAAAUGGAUAUUAAUGGUGAUUGAUGAAGAGCUAGAAAAUAUAAUUAAAUAACUUCAUGUUAUGAUACAAGAGUUAAUUAAAAGAGAAUUACUAGUUAAUUAAAAGAAGAUAUCCUACCAGCCCCAAUAUUAAAGAACAAUUAAAAAAAGAAAAGAAAAUCAUCUCAAAGCUCAUAUCUUUUCAAUAAAGCAAAAAAUAAAAGAAAAACUUCUUUGAAAAAGGAUAUUAAAUGCAGUGUAAGCAAUAAUUUUUAAGAAUCACCAGAUCGACUAAGACAUUCAUCACAGUGUGAUUCUCGCAUUGUAAGAUGGAAAACACUGACGGAUGGUUUGUAUUAGGAAGCAUGUGGUGUGGUAUCAUCAACCUAAGCAGAGAAUAAAACAAUUUGAUCACAAUUAGACACAAGAUAUGAAAAAGAACCAAGAAAUUACACAAAAGAGCAUGGUGACACUGACAGGCAGACAAAUAUGGGCCAAAUAAUAUACCUUGGGGUUGAAAAAUCAUAAAUAAUAAUUUGAAGAUGACCAUAGUUUACUUCAUUCGCACAUUGUUUCAAAAGACGAAAAUCCUUGUGAUCAGUCACUAUAAAAGAAUUGAGCAUUCUCCCAAUGGCAUGUUCAACAGCCACCGCCCAUUUAUUACCAUUAAGCAACUUCUGUUAAACCAUAAAAAGCAGUCCCAAUAAUGAUAACAUUUCACAAGGAAAUUAAGUAAUUAACACCAAUCACCCAUUUAUUAAAUUUAGCAACUUCUAUUAAAUUAAAUCAUAAAAAGCCCUACCAAAUACUACUAAGAAGUGACUUUAACUUAGUAUGGAAUGUAAUUGACUAACCAUCUUAGAAAGAUUAAUCAACUAAUGAAAGUUAGAAUUUUUUUUUUUGAAACGGCCAAAGUUAAUAAUUAAUUGUCAGAUUAAAUUUUUUCUUCUUUGUCAAGGUUUGAACCCUACAGACCUCCCACUCCUUUAACCCUUAGCUCAAAUCAGUUGAGCUACCCAACCCACCCAAUGAAAGUUAGAAAUUGAACUUGGAAAUGACAAUAGAGUAUAGACAAAUGAAUAAAUUAGGGAUGGAAAGUGUAAAAGAAGAAGCGGCCCAUACAGUUUAGCAAACACAGCCUAGGAAAAGAGAUAAACAAAAACAAUCUUCAACAUAGAGGCUAUAUAUUGGGUGCAUUUGUUUAAGCUUUAAAAAAAAUUAAUUUGUUUUGAGAAAAUCUAGAGAUUCUUUUUUAGAGAUUUCUGAAAAAAUCUAAAGCUACUUUCCGUCUAUUUACUAUCAUAAAAAUCACUUUUUUUAAAAUGUGAAGUCCGUAAACUUAAGUUCCUUGGUUUUAAAAAAAAAAGAUUCUAGAAAAGCUUAAUCUUAGGAUUAGCUUUUCAUUUUGGGGUUAAAAAUGAUUUUCUAAAAAAUUAUGACAAACACUAUUAAAAUGAUAAAAUAGAUUUUUUUAAGAAAAGAAUAUAUUUUUCCUUUAAAAAAUAAAAAACAAACGCACCCAUUAUCAUCUAACAAAUAAACCCCCUAAAAAUAGUCGUGCGUAUAAUAAAAAAUGAGUGAAAGAAAGAUACACAGAAAAUAAUGUGUUAAAUAUUACAUGAAGGCAUCCUAAACUAUAUUACCAGAUGAGCACCAAUUGGACCAAUGGGAGGCAUCUUAAACCUUUGAUGACAUCUUUCAAUUACACGUAACAGAUUAAUCACUUUAUUUCCUCCAAAAGCCAUGAUCUGCUUCCAAAAAAGAUUGGCAGUGUCAUGAAAGACUCACAACCAGUGUGCAAGGCAUUGUCAUAAUUUGUCAUGGAACAAAGCAAAAUAAACAAACAUAGAAACCAAAACUGCAAGAUUUGCAUACCUUGUUGCUUUGUUGUUGUUUAAUAUUACGAAUAUUAAGCAUGAUUUCAUUAUACUUCUUUUCAUGAUCUCGGAUCUAGUAAAAGCAAAUAAAUUAUAUUAAGUAAUAAACAAACUAUAAAGACUAGAAGAGCUUUCAAAAGGAUAUUGUAAUUAAACUAUGCAAAAAAAAAAACUUUACAUCAAAAGUAUCUUGUGCAUCAUCAGACUAUUAUUCACAAAGUUAAAAAAUUUAAAGUCAAGCAAUAAUGCAGCACAUUAAAUUAACACUGGUUAUGUUGCAUAGGUGAAUUUCCUCAACUUCACACAAAAUACAAAAGUGCCAACUAAAGUUUUUGAAUGAGCCUCAAAGUAUAAUGGUGUACAUUAUUAAAACCCUAGAUAGUAAGAUACUUCUCCAAAACAUUUAAUAAUUUUUGGGAGUGGUAAGGUGGUUUGGAUGUUUGGGGGACUGACACUGACAUAGGGGUUGAAAGUGAUAAGGAAGCCGUGGGUUCAACACCCUGACAAACAAACUAACAACUACCAUUUGUCAUUUUAAAAGAAAAAUACAUAUUUUUCAAAAACAUAAUUUGAAAUAUUUGUGGCCGUUUUGGAGACCACGCAUAUAUUCUCAGAUUCUGAAACAGGAAACAGCUUACUUUUAGGUUGCUGCACUGGUAUUUAUUUAUGUUGUAUUGUUGUAGACUUUAAUACUAUUGGUGCAUAUGUGGAUUUGUUCAGAGUUUAGAGCAAUUCCUUGCACAAUUCAAGACUUGUGAGGUAUAAGAAGACAAAAGACACAAGGCUUUAUAGUUUACGCAGGAUAUGGUGUCAUUUUAUGCUUAUCAAUGUAAGGGGUCGAAUGCAAUAAUUUUGGGUUAAAUAUGUUGUUGCUCCCUAUAAAAUUGGGUCCUUCUGAGUUGGACCCUAUUAAAAUUUAAUGAGCUUUAGUCCUCUAUAUUUUAGAUGUUUGUGAAUAAUCCUUGCUGUUAAAAAUAUGCUGGGAGGAGGAUGACGGAAUGCUGACUGGGUCUUGCCAGGUGGACAUUUUAAUCUACAUGGUUGCAUCCGAGUGGCAAGAGAAUUAGCAAUUACUAUUAGUUUUAUCUUAUUUAUUAUUCACAAUCAUGUUUUAAUUAAUUAAAACACUUAAAUGACAUUAAUUUGUUAUGCAAUAAAUGAAAAAUAAAUUAUUCGAUUAAUCCAAUUAAUAAAAAUAUAUAAACAGGGAUGAUGGCAGUAGAAGAAACAGAGGUGUCUCUUGGACACCCAAUAACCAAACUGAAAAAUAAACUAGGGUUGGCCUUGACGGCAGCUGAACCCAACGAUAAAAAAGGUAGGAUUUCAAACCUUGCCCUGGAUACCAAGUUGAAUAGUUUAGAAUGAUCAACUUGUAUUUCACAAUGAGAUUGUGCAAAUAUAUAUACAGGUGAGAAUCUCUCAAGAAUGGAAAAGUAGAAAAUAAAAGAAACUAUAUUGACGCUAAUAAAUGGAGAAAUAAUCAACAAAAACCAAUGACACAACAGAAGUGUUAUCGCACCUUAUCAUCAAUCAUUUUGGUUUCGUCCUUUAGCCUAAUUUUGUUGUUCAUUAAUGUAGUCUCUUCUUCUCUCAAUCUAGAACAAAAAAAGUAACGUUAGGAAGUGGGACUUCUUCAAAUUCAAGUUAAACACUGAUAUGAAAAGCCACAUAAAUAGAAUCAAAACCUAUCCAAUUCGGCCUUAGCAUCGUGAACCUCAUCUCGAAGCCCCUUGAGUUUUUCCUCCAUGUCAGAUUCUUCAGCCUGCAUUGUUGUGAAAAUAAUAAGCAUAAAAUCUUUUACCUUAAAAAAAAUAAUGGAGCUGUCAUCAUAUAUUAGACAUUUUAUGUCAUGGCUGUGAAAAGAAAGAAAGCAAGUGAAACGGUAUAACAAAUGGGUUGUUUAAGUUGAAAAUGGUAUAUAUAUUAUUCUAAGAAUCUUGUGUUGGGCCUAACUCAACCAUACGAAACCGGCAUUUAAGAUGAGGAUUGCCCCCGCUUUAAACAUAUCUUCAGGCCAUCUCUCAUCCAAUGUGGGACUCUUAACAAAUAUAUUACUAUAUUGUAUUAUAAGCCAUCCAUCACAGUUUUUUCAAUACUAUGUGAACCAAAAAUAGUAAUAUACGGCAUGGUUUUUCAUUGAUGCUAACUGAAGGGAUAUCAUGUAUAAAUAGGAGAAAUAAGGAGGGAAUGGAAAGAGGGCAUUCAGUAUUUUUGAUUUUGUGAGUGAGUUGAGAUAUUAUGUGAAGAGAAAAUCUGUGAGGAGAUUCUAUUCCUAUCUUUUGUUCAAUUUUCAAUAAUAUAUUGCUAUUAUUUUGAUUCCUUCUAUCUUUCUUUUAAUUCAAUUUCUCGAUUCCUUACAAAUUAUCAACUUCUUUGUGAAUUAUUAUGAUCAAUUAGCCAAUAUUGUUAAUAAGCUAUUUUCACUGUCUUCUAGCCGGGGCCCUACUAGAUUAUCAUAAGUAUGUAACAAAUUUGAUGCAUAUGAUAUUGAUAAUGAUAGGCCAACUUGAAAGGGAGUGACAAUACUGUUGAAUCUAAGCUACUGGUGACAAUAAUGCUAAUCAAUAUUCCAUGAAAAUAUUGUAUAGCAACUACAACAAGUUCAACUCAAUGUAUCUUAGGAAGUAAUGAUAGCUUAAUUGUUUCCUUGUUAACUGCAUUUGUUAUUCAUUAUCAUUGUAAUUUCCAUGUAUAUAAAUUAAGCAACGCAUGAACCAUAGUUAUCAAUCGCGCGCGAUCCCAGUGGGAUCUGAGUGGAGCAGCGCAGAGCCCUGCUGGGAAGGGAAGGGUGGGAGCGGCGUAGCUAAGCUUCUCGGCCACUACUGCCGGGUUCUAGGUGGACCGGGGCUGAGCGGGUCGCGGUUUGCCAUCCCGGGUUAGGACUGAGAUUUUAUAUUCAUGGGUUUUAAAGGGUAUUUUUGAAAUCAGACUCAUUCUAGUACGGGUAAAAUUGGUUUUUUACCUUUAAAAUUGUUACUAACCCUUUAACCCUAGCCGCAACUUCAUUCUUUCUCUCACGUAUCGUUCUAUGCGUCUUUUCUCACUCUCACGAUCCAAAGCUUCUCACGCAUUCAAGCUUUCAUCUCUUCGAUCUUCAUCUGCUUUGUUCUGAUUUUUUUUGUUUCUCUAUGUUUCUUCAACCUCUGCUUUUGCUUCUCUGUUUCUACUUCAACCUCUGCUUUCUAUUUUCUGUUUACUCUGUUUCUAUUUUCUCCAAGCUCUGUUUCUUUUUCUUUUUUUUUUGUUCCAAUCUCUCUUUAUUUCUCCAUGCUAUUUUUGUUCUUUUUUUACUUUAUUAAUCUAAGUGUUGGAGACUUGACUUUUGCUUAUUUAUUUUGCUUGACUUUUGUUGGUAAUUUUUAGUUACUUUAUGAUGAAGGUGUUGAAGACUUGAGAUUUGUGUUUAGAAUUUUUUACUUAUGAAUGUUUUAUGGAUUUUGAGAUGUUUGUUUAAUUUUACAUUAAUUAUAUGUUUAUAGUAAUAUUUAUGUAAUUUAUAAAAAAAAUGAAAUAGCGGCAUCCCGGCCCUCCCGCUCCCUGGGAUGCCGCUAUCCCAAUUUUGGGGUUGGCCGCUCCACUCCGCGGUCCGGGAUUAACUACUAUGGCAUGAACGCUGAGCAACUCAAGCACAUUCAGAAAAAUUCUUCCUUCCUAUUUUUCUCACACGCAUAUAUCCAUACACUUAAGGAUUUAGGUAUAUCUGUUUAGUUUAAAUUGGGAAAAGUUUAUCUAUAUAGAAUUGAGUUCGGGGUUUUCUCAAGCAAUUCAGGUGGUUGGAUGAUAAGAAAUCCUCAAACAAGAAGAAAACAAAACAAAAGGAGAGGAACAGAAACAAAGAAAAUUAUAAAACCAAGCAAAAUCACCAUAAAGAUAAUAUAGUGGCAGAUACAUGGAGAAAGGCAAAAGAAGCAUAACUAAAUGUAUCUAUAAUAGGGACUUGUAUAACCUGGGUAUUUUUCACAUGUUGCUCAUGAAUAUCCUGCAUUUGUUGUUCAAGCUGUUUGAGCUGUUGUACCAACUUCUGUAUGUUACUAGUUUUGCAUUUGCACUCUCGCUGAAGUUCAUAUGCUUCUUUUUUUGCCUUCAUUUUUUUUUUUGGGNNNNNNNNNNNNNNNNNNNNNNNNNNNNNNNNNNNNNNNNNNUAGCUACCAAAAUAUUUAAUAUCCAUAAUAAAAAAUAAAAGCACAAUAACAAAAAGGAUUAAAUAUGUUUUUAGUCCCUAUAAAAUCAUGACUUUCCAAGUUCAGUCCAUAAAUAAAUUGUAUUUACUUGUUGUCCCUAUUUGGUUUAACAUCCGUCUGUAUAAAAUUUAAUUUAAAGGUUAAAAAUAUUUUAAACAUAAUGAUAAGAUAUAAGUAAUAUGGACACUAAUCUUAUGAGUUAUGAGAUAAUCUAAGAUUAGAACUAAUCUUACAGGAUAAAGUACAAUAAUCUAACAUAAUAUCAAGAUAUUUCAAGAUACUUUUUUAUAUUCUAACAUAAAACAGAUUUCUCCAUAAGAUUAUCUUUUCUCUCUCUUGGAGUACUGUACUGCAACAUAAAAUAGUCGUAUUACAAAAGAAAAUAAAUCUGACAUAGAUUAAAUAAAAUGACGUGUAUAAGGUGGAAGUUACAAGAGUAAACAAGCAUAAUAAAAACUGGUAAAGAAGAAUUGAAAUANNNNNNNNNNNNNNNNNNNNNNNNNNNNNNNNNNNNNNNNNNNNNNNNNNNNNNNNNNNNNNNNNNNNNNNNNNNNNNNNNNNNNNNNNNNNNNNNNNNNNNNNNNNNNNNNNNNNNNNNNNNNNNNNNNNNNNNNNNNNNNNNNNNNNNNNNNNNNNNNNNNNNNNNNNNNNNNNNNNNNNNNUGAAUACCACAUGAUUUAUUUAACUUUUAUAAAAGUCUUAAUUGAAUACCAUAAGACUUUUUUAUUAUAAAAAAGUCUUUUAAAAUCCUUUGAAAUCUCAAUCCAAUACACCCCCCUAAGUCAUCUAGAUAUUGUUAAAAAGCAUUUUUCAAAAGGGGAGUAGGAGUAAAACCUCCCACCUCCAACAUACCGAUGACAUAGAGCGGCUUAAUAUUUCCUUCGUUUCCUUAACUUUUGAUGUCGUCAUACUUGCAAUUUCAGCUUUCUUCGUAGAAUAGUUUUUACUUAAUUUUUCAAGCUGAUGCUGCAACGAAAUAAGAGUCCCAUUUAACUCUUAAAGAAUAAAAUAUAGGCUGAAAAGAAAGAGUGAAGAUAGCAAUGGCAGAUAAAUAUGUUAGAGUCUACAUAUAAUAGGCGAUCUAUUGCAGAAAUGAAGAAUGACAGCAUCUUCAAGCCAAGCACACAUAAUAACAAUAUAAGCAGCAACCUCUAUAGCACUGUGGUAUAGUAACACAGAAUAAUAUUCUAUAUUAGAUAAACCAAAAGCAAUGCAGGUUGGGCGUGAAACUUCUCCAUCCACAAUCCUUGUGGUAAUAAUGAAGAUGAUACAUCAUAAAAAAUAAGCAAUUAAAUUAUUAAAGUUGACAAUACUGGGAGUUGUUGUCAAAAUGGGCACUAUAAACAGACACCUGAUCAAAUUCACAACUUUCAUUGUAGACCUAACGUGAAGAGAGAGAUGGAGGGGGGGAGAGAGAGANNNNNNNNNNNNNNNNNNNNNNNNGAGAGAGAGAGAGAGAGAGAGAGAGAGAGAGAGAGAGAGACAGAGAGAGAGACAGAGAGAGAGACAGAGAGAGAUGUAAUUGAGUUUGUUGUUAUUUGAAUUUUGAACUGCUUGGCAGUUAUGAAGGGGACAUUCCCUGUGUUGGAAAUAAUAACAAAAACUCAAUUACACUCUCUAUAUUCAAUCUCUAUCUCAGGCUUUCUAGAGUAUACAUGAAAGAUAGGAGGUUUAUAAGAGAUUUUUGGGGUCCUAACAUAAGAUCACAGUAAGGAAUGAUAUUCUCAAACCACGCAGAGAACUUCACAUUGUGAAGACUUAUGAAAACUUCACUUUGAGAAGAUAAUGUAAGUAAACAUACCAGUUGUUUAUCUAUCAUAGCUUGGCAGGUAGGAACCCGACUCUUCAACUUUUCAAUCGUUACAUUUUGUGCCUCAAGUUUCUUGUCCACAUCAUAAACCCAUGACCAUGCAAGUUUCUUUUUUAACUGCUGAACCUGUAUGGAAAUUUGUUCGACGUGUUCCAUCGUUUUAAUUUUAACCUGCAGCUCCUUAAGCUCCUUCUCUACAGGUCUUAUAGCGGCCUCUAAUUCUUCAACUACUCCAAGUGCAGUAUUUAUUUCACUGGAAAUGCUUUCCAGAAGAUCAUUGACUUGCUGAAGAAGUGUCGCCUUGUAAAAGAACUGUUUAAUCAAGUGUUAGCAGAGCUUCUGAAGAAGCUUUAUCAAAAAAAAAAUGAACAUGAAGUAAUCACCUUAAAUUUAUCUUUGUUAUUCCCAGAGUGCAGGAAUUCUCUGCUUUUGUCUUGACUCAUAAUCACACAUGGAUUCUCCACAUCAAUCUGCAAAAUAAAAAGACUAAACAAUAGGUGCAAGAAUGAAGAAAAUCACUUGAAAAGAAAUAAAAGGCAUUGCCAAAGAUUUAUUGCUUAUAAUGUGAACAAAGAGAUAGAAAACUUUGCAUUUUAAUCAUAUAUACACAUCAGAGACCUUCCCAACUUCUCAAAAUAAUUGUUGAUCACUUUUUUUAUGGAACAACAUUAUUAAUCGUGAACUAGGCAAGAGCUCGUUAGUUCUUCAAGUCAUCCAUCUUUAUAAAGAAGUGUUAGAAACCAUGCAUGCAAGUACUACGUUACAGAAGUUACCAAGAAGCAAAGCAGAACAACAAUUUCAGAAUUAAAAAAACAAUGACAUAGCUGAGAGAAAGCAUACAUUGAAAUGUUCAAUGAUUUCCAGAAGAUCUGCUUUCCGACUGAAAACUUUCUUUCCUGCCAUCAAACUCAGAAUGUAAGUGUGUAAAACAUCCUCGACAAUCAUUGCCAGAACUUAUUUUGAGUGUUGUUAAAUUACGGUAAUAUUUAAUUUUGAAAUACCAAAUAUAUUGAACAUAUCAGACAUCUCUGUCAAAAAAAAUAUCAAGAAAGACUUCUAUUUUUUACAAUCAAUAUAGACUUUUUAUCAUUAAAGAAUAAUAGAGAUUGAUAAAGAAAAUUAUUAGAGAAAAAGAAGAGAGACACUGCGUAGGGAUCAGACAGAUAAACCAUUUUGAAUUUCAAAUUCUCUAAUUCAAACCACAACAGAUUCAAACAAUUAACUUAAGAUGGAAUAUAUGAGUACAAGAAAAUCCACCAACAGUGUUAAUUUCAACAUGUUAAACUGCAAUUACAAGGAGUUGCAAAUAUCUGUUUGGAACUCCUUCAAAUUUAUUCAACUUGGGAUCCAGAGUUCAAAUCUUUGUUUACACAAUUAAAUCUCAAACUUUUGUCAUGUAACCGAAGCUAUGUUAAUGUUGUCCUGUCCAUCCCGUGUUGCAGAGUGGGGCGGCCAUCCCCAAAACUGGAAUCGUGGGAUUACGGAUUGCAGAAUGGCCAACAUUAUAAAAUAAUUUUUAUAUUGUUGGAGUUGUGGGAGUUUAGAUAAAAAAAAUGGAGAACAUAAUAAUAACUUAAUACUGAACACCAACCCCUAUAUAUCCCAUACAAGAUUCUAAUCCUAAUUAGGCAAUUCAUGAAAAAAUUCAAGAUAAAAAGUGAUGGAUGAAUUGACAAAUCAUUGCAAACUUCCAACCUAAGUUGUCAAUCUUAAAUAGUGGCAUGCAGCAGCCGACCCCGAAAUUGAGAUUUUGGUAAUAGCAAAUUGAAUGAUGGUUGAUAUUCUGAAUUAUUUUAGACAGUAUAUUACAGAAGACAAUUGGGGGAUUCCCAAAAACAAAACAAAAAAACAGGAUUUUUCACCUAAGAUGAACAUAAAAAAGUGUAGAAAACAGGGGAGAAAUCAGGGUCAACGAAAAAUGAGCAGAAACCAGUCACUGGUCACCAGAAACUUGUGGUUAGAGGCAGGGUAGCACAACGCAGGGGCCGAUUACCAUUACUUCAGAAGAAAGUGAGGGAAAUGGUUCCAAGUUUCAGGUGCUAAGCCCUUACCCUGUGUGAAAUUGAUAGGAACCAAAAUUUAAAGAAGGGUAGAAACUGCUUUAUUGAUUGAAAAUAAAUGUAUUACAAAAGGAAACACCCUGUAACCCCAUGGUAAUAACUCUAAGGUUCAAACUAAAAUUAAGUAAUUAACACUAGGUUAUUACCCCUUGCCAUGCAAUAGGCUCAAAGGUAUGAAAUAAGAACAAUGGGAUCGAAGAUUGAAUUUAUGACUGAGUAUUGAGGAUUAAACCUCUUACAGUGACUGGAAUUUAAGAAACGAUGGAUGGAGUUAGUAUUGCCUUGCAACAAUGGAAACUAACAGAAAAUAAAUGAUAUUCUCAGUGUGAGAAUAUCCCUACUGAGAUGAGAAUGAUUCUCACUCCUCAGUCCCCAACCCCACUUCACAGCCAGUCUGCCUUGCUUCACUUGUGAGGUCGUCUUCUAAUACCUUCCCCUCCUUCUCUCCACUGAUUCCCUCCAUCUUAGUAAAGAUAAGCUCAACUAAAUUGAUUUCCAUAAGCUAUUCUUAGAGGCUUUAAGGAAAUAAACCCAUACGAACAUAUAGCUACUUUUAUGUCAAAAAAUACUUUUAAGAGCUUAAUCAAACACAUCUAAAGUGAUUAAGUCAAAAAAUAUGCUCAAAAUACGCUUCAGAAUAGCUCUUCCAAUUGCCCACACAUUCCCUCACACGAGAUCCAUUUAGGCAUGAAGUGUAUAUAAUGCACAAACAACCUACUUUGUGCUGAAUCAACCUUUUCAUAGAAGAAUAAAGGAAGCAAGUAUCAAACUCUAGGCCGUUUCAGUAUAAAGGCUCUGAUAAGAUGUCCUGAUCCAACCAACUAUCCCAAAAGCUUCAAAUGAAGACACGGUGAUGGAUUUUAUAUAUCACACUUAUGAAAUGUUAAAUCUAGAGAAAUACCAUUGUAACUUUCCAUUGUUUCAAUAGGCCAACAAAUGACAUAUAUCUCAUGAAAAUUAGUUUGUUGUAUACACACCUUGGUGAUCUUUCAAUGUAAUAGAGCUUGUGGAUUCCGAUAUCCUACGUUCUACAAUGAUGACAUCACCAUAUAUUUCAGGCUUGAAAGCAUCCUCUCCUUCAUUUUGAAUUUCAACAUGGAUGACAGCAUUACUACAGAAAGACAAUAGAAUAAAGAACCAUGUAAAAACAUUAUGUUGGUCGUUUAGAUUAUCAAUUCUACCAGAAAUUGUGUGUUUUCUUCUUUCUUACAAUUUAAAACAACAGUAAUAAGUAGUUUUGGCAUAGGACAUUUGAAGAAAACAAGGCAUCCUAGUUUGCUCAUAAUAUUAAUCACUUUGAAAUUUUUAUAAUCUUCGCAAUGAGAGAGAGAGAGAGAGCAAAUGGCAUUUACCUAGCACCAGUUUUGAUGAAAUCUUUCAAAGUAGAUGCUCUUUGAGUCCCUUUAGCUCGACAACCAAAUGCGACACACAACGCAGUAAGGAUUGCACUUUUACCACCUAAAAAUGUCAAAGCCAAACAAACAACAUGGAUUCCUUAGAAAACAAUUUUUACUAUGAAUCAUUUGUCCUAAACACAAUCUCUAGAUUGAAAUUAAAAAGAUCACAUCUCGCAACAAAUCAAACACAACCCCAUUGUAGAAACUUAUUACAAGUGUUGUUUGCUUCAGUGGGUCCCACUAUGGCUAAUCGUUUUAAUCAACUCACUCUAUACACUUACCAAAACUCUCUUAAGAAUCCCAUUACAAUUGCUAGAUUCAUAAACUUACCAAAACUCAAUAAAUCAACAUUACAUUAGCACAUGCAACAGAAAAAUCAUAAAUUUCAACAAAUUACAAAAAACAUAAAUAAAAAAAAAAUCACAAUUUCAAAUGGAAAAAUAAACAAAUAGAGCGGUAAAUUGAAUGCAAUUAUGGAAGAAGAAAAUAACAUACUUCCAUUUUGUCCAGUGAUGAGAUUAACGUGAUUUCCGAAAUCAGUUUCGUGAUUUGAAUGACACAUGAAAUUUUCUAACCGAAGCUUCUUGAUGAUUCCUGCUUCAAGAGAUGGUGAAACCCUAGAAGAACUAGAAUCCCCUGUGCAUCUCGCACGCUUCAUUCUGGAACGUUCUCUUCACGAUUACAGAGAGAGGAAAUAGCGAUGAAUUGGAAAUUUGGAAUGGUGAAAAGAGAAAAAAAAACCCAAAAUUUUGANNNNNUUUUUGGUGUGGCUACGAAAAAAAAAAAAACCUUGUAAAGUGUGUCAAUGGCGGGAAAACUCGUCACAAAUCUUGGGCUAAGUUGGCUUUGGGUUUGUGAUUAGCGAUUUACUUUUGUUUACCUACCAUGGAGCAGUUUACAAAAUUAUCAAAAUACCUCGUCCGUUGUUUAAGUAGUGGAUUUUACGUUUAAAAUCUUGAAAAUUUCAUGGUAGGAGGAUGUUUUUUUUCUCAAAAAUUUGUUAUUUAAGUAGUGGAUGUAUAAAAAUGAGAAAUUUUCAUAUUAUGGGGUGUUUUUUUUUCUCAAAUUUCACAUUUUUAUAA